Molecule: long non-coding RNA, 84867 nt
Filed under: Spirodela polyrhiza (greater duckweed)
Lineage: Eukaryota; Viridiplantae; Streptophyta; Magnoliopsida; Alismatales; Araceae
Description: long non-coding RNA (SPOL_LNC000271)
Rfam family: tRNA (bases 20575-20647)
Source: RNAcentral
AAUUUUUUUUGUGAUUUAUCUAAAAUCUUGAAGUAACUUUGUACAAUAUUAAAUGUAUUUCUACUAUUAUUUAUGCCGUGUAUCAAAAACUUUUAAAUGUAUUAUUUUAUAAUGUGUUGUAAAUUUUGAAAUAUUGAGUACGUCUGGCACAGUUAUACGAAUUAAGAGGCCUCGUAUAAUUUUUGUUAUGGUGUUCCUAUGAUUGUCAUCCUGAUGUAACCUGGGAUCAAAUUAUGAGUGUGUAGCGCUGCUCAAUGUAUAGCACCUUGUUGUCUACCUAUCUUCAAGGUUUUUGUUUUAGAAUUUACUAUGAACCUCUGAUAUUUUUACCAUUCCUAUUUUCGACUCUUCUAACUGAAUUUAUUCUAGGUUAAUCGUACCUACGUAGCUAGUGUCAUGUAUAGAAUCACAUUUUAACACAAAGUCGUGCUUGGAUAUUCCCCACUGUUUUAGUUUAUGUGUAGAAAUUCAGUGUGAAAGAAAUUCUCUCAAUUAUUUUCGUCCAUCAUGUGUCCGAGAACUAGCCAUUAAAUUGUGCUUCCCUGGAGAGGUGGCAUUAACAGGGCAAACUAGGUCCCUCUGGAAUUUUUAAGAGAUGCUGAUGUUGUCCAAUCUAUAUAGAAGAAGGGUUGGGGAAAGAAACCCCACUGAUUGGGGAAAGUGUUCCAAGGCAUAACUGUGCAUAGGAGCGAUAAGGUUUGUAUUGAUGAUAAACAAGCAUCCAUGACUCGGGGGCGUGGAGACUUUUUAUAUAAACGCUGAAACCUUUGCCAAACGACCAAAACGACUGCAUAUAUGAUGAUCCAUUCGAGGCAAUUUGGUUCAGCUAAGGAAAAAAAAACUUAGGGACUGUCCUUCGUCACAUAUGGUUAACCAUCUGUAGCCCACGUUAAUUCUUCUUCUUGAUCUUGACCUCUAUAAUUUGUAUAGAGACUAGGCUGUACAAUCUCUUGUAUCGCAGCAGUAAGUGUCUCUUUUGUGGACGUGUGGGGCGCAUAAGAGAAGGACGUGGGACCAAAUUUUGAAAGUUAAAUGGCCUGAAAGAAAUCCCGUGAGCACCCAGCUUGAUUAUUUGAAAGAGAGCAACAACCCCACACGACAGCCUCUAAUAAUCCUGCAGUGUUCAUAAUUUACUGAUUGGCCUCAACGCUGGUGCUUUAUUGAAACCCCGAUAAUAAUAAUAAAAAAUGAUAAAUUGAGUUAAGAGUUGACACUUGUUUGUGCAAGCAAUCUAGUUGAUGGCUGUUUUUAGCACAAAAGACUUACAAUCAUUAAUUAACAUUAUCCUAUUUUAUGUUUCCCUCUAAUAAAACAUAAUGGUUAAUGGCUUCUAUUUCUUACUUCAUAGUUAUAAUGACUAUGUGGGGUGAGCCAUUCUGUACAACCCCUUCCAGAACUCUCAAUCAAAGCGCUGAAUACUUUCUGCAUUAUGUUGCAAAAGCCUUUUUCCUACGUCAAAGUGCUGAUGAAAAGAGAGCGAGGCAAGUUGAUAAAUUGCACGUGAUAAUUUCGAGGAAAACAGCACUCAUAUUGAAUAGUAUUAUCAUUGGAUCGGACUAGCCCAGAAGUGCGCCGUCGUCUGGACUGGUUUUUUCACUAUUAGUUCAUAGAAUUAAGUACAACAGCGAAAAAUGGCUUGAACUGGGUUUGAAAAGAUCUAGACCCACAAGUUUAUCUCUACCACUAGGUAGGAUCAUUUCCCCUUCCCCUUUCGUCUUUCCCCGUGUAUCAGCCCACCCAUCCUGCAGUGGGAGCCCCAACAAUUAUCCAUGUUUCCUUGCAGAAUUUUUCUUGCGAUCUUAAAGUUCAUGUUUGUGGAUUUUUUUCACAUUUUCAGGUUGUUGCUGAAGCAGCAGAAGACAUAUGGGAUCGUUAUGGCUUUGACUUUGGAACUGACUAUUCUGGUCUUUAUGUUGCUCUUUCUCAUGCUAAUUACAAUGUACGUUUGGCUGCUGCAGAAGCAUUGGCUGCAGCUUUGGACGAGAAUCCUGAUACUAUACAAGUUAAUAUCUCCUUUCUUGAAACAGUUGCGUGUUCCUUGUUUGUUUAGCUAUUAUGCAUUUUCUAACUAGCUGCUAUUUCUCCAGGAAACUCUUUCGACUUUGUUUUCAAUGUACAUUCAAUAUGCUGCCAAUGCGACAGAUACAGCAGACGCUUUCUGGUUAGGAAGGCAGGGGAUUGCCAUGGCGUUACAUUCUGCUGCUGAUGUUUUAAGAACGAAAGAUCUCCCUGUUGUCAUGACUUUUUUAAUUUCACGUGCAUUGGUAAGAAUUCAAAUUUUUGUUAAAAGAUGGUUUUUUAAUUUAAUGCUAUUAAUUUCGGACAAAAAUAAUGUGGCUUUGACACUACUUUGGUAAUGCAAUCUUGAAUAUUGUCCAUGACUUGGGUUUGAUGUGCAUGGAGACAAUCAUGUAGAAGAUGAAAUGUGGCUGUUGACUCAUUUUUAACCUUUAAAGCAUGUUCUUGGAGCAUUUCUAUAAAAUUUUGAGAUCAUCUUUGAAAGACGUAUGCAUAUUUUACCUCAAGUUCACGGCGUGUCUGAAUUGUCUCACUGAUUGAGCUCUUACUGGAUUUGUGCUACUAAACAAUCACAAAGCGAAGGUAAAUCGAUGACUAAAAUUCACGCGAAUCUGACUAUUGUUCUUCUCUAGCUGUUGGCUAGAACUGUUGUUUUUUAGACUUUUUCCUGCAGUGUGGUUUCUAAAUUGAAAAGCAGCAACUUACAAAUUAGUGUACCAUUUUGUAGGCGGAUCCUAGUAUUGACGUUCGUGGAAGGAUGAUCAACGCUGGCAUCGUGAUUAUUGAUAGACAUGGGAAAGAAAAUGUUUCACUAUUGUUUCCUAUUUUUGAGAACUACCUAAAUAAAAAGGUAUGAUCUUUCGAUCAGUCUUCUCUUUUCCUCGGUGACGUAAAAGCUACGUCAGUGUCUCCAUUCGUGAAUGACAAACGGCAUUGGGGCAGACGCCCUCUUCUUGUCCUGACUGUAUUGAUCAUUUAUAUCAUCGAUAAAAUAUUAAGUGAAGAUUUUUGGAGUUCUGUCAUUUGAGGAUAUAUGUACUACGUUAUUUUUAUUCAAUAGGAUUUUAAAUGUGUUUGAAAAAGGUGGUCUCUAAGCACCUCGCCUUGCUGUCUAUAUUAAAAGUAGUGGAACAUUGUUUUGAUUACCGUCAACCCCUUUAUUUCAUCUGAAAUUGUUUUCUUUGGUUAAUGACAGGCUUCUAAUGAAGAAAAAUAUGACUUGAUACGGGAAGGUGUUGUUAUAUUCACUGGAGCUCUGGCUAAACACUUGGCAAAGGUAUGUAGGAAAUUUUUUUCCUUUUCAUCUGUUUCAUCAUCUGUUGCCAAGAUUUUAUUUCGUUUUUUCCAUUUUUUUAAUUUUCUAAGUUUUUGUGGGCAGGAUGAUGCCAAAGUCCAUGAUGUUGUUGAGAAGUUAUUGGAUGUUUUAAAUACUCCAUCUGAGGCUGUACAAAGGGCUGUUUCAGACUGUCUCUCUCCGUUGAUGGUUGCAGAGCAGGUAUGGUGUUCUCAUCAAGUAUUGUUCUUUUAGUGGUUUGAAAGGAUGCUAUCUAAGUUAUUGUUGUGUUACAAUAAAAAUUUUCUGCUAGUCAGUAUUUACCCAAAAAGUGAAUUUCUGCUGCUCUGUGGUUCUCUUUUGUUUAUGUGUCUUUGAAUUGUACUGAAUGAUGAUAAUAAAGAGGACGUUUGUGUACAUUUGAGAGGUAAGUCAACAAACGAUACUCUUUAAAGGUGUUGGUCAUGCCGGGUGAAUGCCAUGUGUGAUGUGGGAUUUAGCAUGCUUAUGACUGAAUUUAGGAGAAACCAGCAAAUGCCAAUUUAAAGAAAGGUUGCGCGACUAAAUAAAUAUCCUCAUUGAGCAGUCAUGGCAGGACUGUGUUCAUAGUUAGCAUCAGUAGACAAGAGUUUUGCUUUCAAAAUCAGAAUUAGAUCAUAAGAAGUAUGGAAACUUCCCCCAACUAGUGUAAUUGUUUAUGUUGUGCACAGAGUAAACUAGAAUAGUGAAUAAGGAGGUAGGACUGGUGGGGAUUUAGAGACAAGGGUAAGUAGCAAUGAAAUAUGUUUGAUAGAAAAUUAGAUGAAAGGUCUAGAAAGGGUUGACUAUGAUUUUACCUUGAUCGUAUGGAUGGAAGUUUUUGGCUUACGAUAUUUGAGUAAACAGCAAACCUACUGUGUUCCUCUUUGUUGGUGUAAAGACACUAAACAACAUAGAGGAUGAUAGGGAUCAAACAAGGACGAACCAACCGUCAGCUUCAUACUUUUUGAUUUGAUUACUCACUAGAGGACCGUUUUUGACCCCUCAGAGAAAGAGUUAUUAGCAAAAUUUGCAUUCAAAAUAUUUUUGGACAUGAAGUUUAGCUCCCUAUUUUUAGGAAAAAUAUGAGGCCUUGGAAGGGGCUUUCUUAGCUCCGAAUACAAAUGAGCUUGUAUUCCAGCCAUAAAUACUCCUAAAAAGUAGUGAAAACGGUGGGAUAGCCUAAGUUCUUCUAGAAACGGCCUAAUGACCGACGAGAAUCAGACCAAAGAAAUCCCUAUUACAUUAUUCACCUAGUCUAGCCAAAUGCAUCCUUCUAGUGUAGCCAGGACUCUGAUCUCAUCAAUUUUCAUGCAUCAUCCCUAUGGCGCCUGUACUGACAGAAAAUUUUUCUGUAAUGAAACGUUAUUGAAACUCUCAUAGGUUUAUGUUGGUGGCCAUGUCUUUUGGUUUUGAUGUCUUUGGUGCAUUCUUCUGUAGAAUAAAUGAGUUACUUUUUCUCAGGGUAGAUAUGCAUUGUGUUUUUGGCAGUAUGACCUUUGAUCAUUUUAAAGUUUGGUUCUUGUAAGAUGAUAUUCCUUCAAUACUUGGAUUGAAGGAAUAUCAUCAUACAAGAACCAAUAAAUGAGGGUCGAAUGCGCCUUGGAUUGGAUUAUUCUAAAUGAGGGUCGAAUGCGCCAGUAUAUCUCAUGAGACUGUUGUCCGCCUAAUCAUUGACCAAUACAAAAUCUAUAUUGAUCCCAACACAUAUUAUCUUCAUUAUAUUUUAUUCUAGAUUCUUAUGGUGUCAAAAAUUGACAUGUCGUGGUUGAUGGAUAAUAGCCCACAAGGGGAAGAAAAUAGAUGGUGUUGGGAUCGACAAGAGUAGAGCCUUGAGAUUUUCUUUUUAUGGUGAUCAAAUAUUUCACCGGUCACUUGAAUUAUGUUUCAAAUUUUCGUCAUAUCUUAUUAAUUGGUUUGUUUGCCACCUGACUGCAGGUUGUCGUUGCCUUUAAAUUGCGAACUUGUCCUGUAGUUGAUUCCGAUGAUAUUGAGAAUGUUUCAUAGUUCGUUUAUCAUUACUGCAUUCCAUCGGUUGCUGAUUAUUUGUUUUUAUGCCAUUAUGUCAAUUAUCAUUAUAACAUGGUCAAAGCUGUUUUCCUUUCAUUCCCCGGUAUAUCAGCAAUUCCUGGCGCUUCCUAUAAUGUUUAGAUUUUUGAGAAUCCUGUCAUACGUAUCUUUUUCCGCGUGAAUCAGAUCGUCUUUUGCAGUUUGUCAUGAGAUGUAUUUGAGAACUAAUGAAAUCGUCUUUCUUAUAAUUAAGCAGGAUAAUGGCCAGGAAAUUGUUUCCCGCCUAUUAGACAGGCUAAUGAAAAGUGACAAGUAUGGUGACAGGCGUGGUGCAGCAUUUGGACUUGCCGGGGUUAUCAAGGGCUUUGGAAUUCGUUGCCUUAAGACGUAUGGGAUCAUAAAAGUUCUUCAAGAAGGUUUGGAGGACAGGUAUAAUCGAGUCUAUAAUGUAGUUAUGAGCCAAUAAUAUUCAUUGAAGAUUCCUUAUAUUAGAAAAAUAUCGUAUUUUUUGCAGGAGUUCUGCUAAAUCACGUGAAGGAGCUCUACUAGGUUUUGAGUGCCUAUGCGAGAAGCUUGGAAGAUUGUUUGAACCGUAUGUAUUAAUAUGUUCUUAUAACUGUCUCCUUAAUGCCUGCUGAUUGCCUUUGCUUUUUCUCCAUGCAUUCCAGGUAUGUUAUUCAAUAUUUGCCUUUGCUGUUGGUAUCUUUCUCCGAUCAAGUAGCAGCUGUGCGUGAAGCGGCUGAAUGUGCUGCUCGUGCAAUGAUGUCGCAGCUUAGUGGACAUGGAGUGAAGCUCAUUCUUCCUUCGCUUCUGAAGGUUUUUGUUUUGACGACUUAUCCAUGUUAUCUAUACCGCUUUUUUGUUUCGAUUGCUCUGCAAUUUAUUGCGUUUUUUUUAUUGUUGUCUGAUGUCCAUGUCAUUGUGUUUAAUUGAAUGUUAUAACAUCAGUUUGCUUUAUUAACGAUUUCAUUGCCAUUUUUUUACCCUCUCGGGUUCAACAAUUCAUUAGAGUUGGCUUUGAGCAUUGCUGCACAAUUGCUCUCUCUCUCUCAGGCACACAGAUUAGCUUCUUAGUGGCAACACAGUUGGCUAAGACAAGAUGUAUUUCUAGAUAAUCUUUGCUCGUAUAUUAAUGGAUGAAAUCUAUUGUUAGAUUUCACCAAUCAGUCUUACAAAAUAUGCCCUUAUCUGAGCGUUCUUUGGGAAUCUCUUGCUUUUUUUUUCUUAUUCAUCAGUUUGAAAUCAAUAUUAUCAAAUUAGGUUUUAAGGAAAAAUCAUGGAAUAUAAGUCGAUGGAUAAGGUGAAACGUCACCAGUUAUUUUUUCAAAUGCUUUUAUCGCCCUGUUGGACUAAUAGUGAAUGCAUAAACCGUUUGAGUUAUUUCAUCCGAUUGGUUUAUGCUGUGAUAUCAUAUUGUAAAUGGCCUUAAAAUAAGUGGCCUCAGAAAAACACGAGGUUUUAAUCCCGAUGACUAAAAAAACUAGGUUCGAACAUAAUAUCUUUGAUUGGUGGCUAACUGUUAAUGUUGAUUCAUGUUUGCUGUUGGACUGAGUCGUGGCGAAAUGAAACAGACUACCUUAGCUGUUGGAUUGUCAUCUCCUUUUCGAUUACGUUGAUACUAUGAUUCCGUACUGUUGCAAAUUGCUAAUUUUGAUUUAAUAUUGCAAUUCAUAAUCACCUUUUCCAUUUUUUUUCCUGUAUACAUAUAGAUCCACGAGAAAUGAAGCUGAAUUUGUCCUCAGUAGCUGUUAAUCGAAAUCCCAUUGGGCUCCGUCAGUCCACCUCACCUUAGUGGCACGAGUCAGACUGAUAGAAAACCAGUUCCAUUGUUUUUCGAAGAUUAAUGGUCUUCAAACUUUUCAGUGAGCCCUUUGUCUUGUACGAGGCGAGACUGUAGAAUCAGAGAAGAAAGAUGAGGAAAAAUAUAGAUAGAAGAAGAGGAUGUGCUGCCUACCAUGGGUUUAUUCAAGGAGAAAAGAUACGAAAAUAAACCGAUUUGGUAUCACCCCUCAAUUCGAAUCAGCAUAUAAUGAUAUAAAAGUGGGGAACCAGACCUCGGCCAUCCCCAACCCGUCACCAUUAUCGUGCUAACUGUGUCUGCUAGUUUUUCUUCUCCUCCCAGAUGAACCUCCUAAGAAUAUGUGAAAUGUAUUGUUUAAAAAAUGUAUCUUUUACUCCUAAAAUAGUCCUUUCCCUUAUAUCGGAUGAUUUGGCUGAUCGGAUCAUUAUCUAGAGGUGGACAAAGAUUUGAUCCAAUUUGGUGCACUUUGGUCGGGGUUGGUUGACAUCGUUAAUCUUGUGUGGAUGAAGAACCAGAUGUUUCAUAGCUAGGUAUAGAUUGCAUCGGUUUGUUAAGUUGCCAAACCUCUCGAUAUAUAUAUUGCUCCUAGUCUUGGAAUGUCAUUCCUCGUUCUCUUGAUAUGAUGCGGUACUAUGAGACUAUUGAAUAACGAGAAUACGCUCUGGAGAUUUUUUACUUUCGUGACGCAUCAUGUUUCUAAAGCUCGACAGAAAACAAAUCAAUUUUAAUUCGGCCAUACAUCAUGAAGAUUUUUUAAAAAUUUGAAACUUUUCACUGAAACCAUCAUGCGUAUGAGUGGCGUGGUUACUACAUUGAUCUGACUACCCUUUUCUAAAGUUUCACUGUACUGAGGUUAACUAACUGUUUUAAUUGUCAAGGAUGCAUGCUCAUAUAAUGUUAACUUUUGUUCCUGUAACAUAUUGUUAGUCCCCCCUCAGUGAAAUAGUUUGCUUUUACUGAAGUAUGACUGGGGAGGAAAGAUGACAGUAAAAGUACAAAAGCUCAAGUGUGAAGUUAAGAGUAUCUGUACCCAGAAUUUGUUGUCAUAUUUUUGUUCUUUCCACAUGGAACUUUUCAAUGCAUGUUUUAUUUGCUUGUUUCUUUUUUCCUCUGUAACCUUUGUCCAUAAAAAGAAUUUUAUUUUCGCUUUCGUAACUCAACCAAUAUGCCAUAUAUACAUAUAAAUAUGUAGAACGCUCCAUCUCUGGUGUUAAUAUCCGUCUCUUGUAGUCCGGGGGUAAGGUUCUAAUCCUCUGAACUUUGGAGGCUAUGGUCUGAAAAGGAGGAAAGGUAGCGUUAGAAAGUGCCUCAUUAGAAAUGCUUUGGCCAUCUUUUAGAAACGAAGAGGAAGUGUAAUAAAAAUUGAAUUUGGGCCAUAUAAAAAUUUCUAGAAUGCACAGGCUCGAAAUGUCAUUGAUUUUUUUUUCCCAUUUAAACAGGGUCUGGAAGAUAAAGCCUGGAGAACUAAGCAAAGUAGUGUGCAGCUUCUCGGUGCCAUGGCUUUUUGUGCGCCUCAGCAGUUGUCUCAAUGCCUUCCUAAAAUUGUGCCCAAGCUUACGGAGGUUUCCAAUUUAUCAUUGGGAUCUUGCUUAUCGGAUUCAUUUGCCUAACAGCUUGCUUAUGAAAUUUCUGUGUGUCAGGUAUUGACAGAUACACAUCCCAAGGUUCAGUCAGCUGGACAAAUGGCUCUUCAGCAGGUUUUGUUUCUCUUUUUUUUACAUGUGUUGGUGUCGUAUUGUGGUCCGAUAAUGAUAAUAUCCAUUAUUCUUUACAGGUUGGAAGUGUCAUAAAAAAUCCAGAGAUAGCUGCCCUUGUCCCAACAUUAUUGUUGGGUCUUACUGAUCCCAAUGAGCACACUAAGCACUCGCUGGAUAUUCUUCUUCAAGUAUGAAUAUUUGUUAGAAACAUCUAAUGCCUUUUUCAUUGGAUUUGUUUUUUGAUGGUCCUUUCUCCUGCAGACGACUUUCAUCAAUUCUGUUGAUGCUCCGUCACUGGCAUUAUUGGUGCCUAUUGUGCACAGAGGCUUGCGAGAGAGGAGUGUUGACACUAAAAAGAAAGCAGCUCAGAUAACGGGGAACAUGUGUUCAUUAGUUACUGAACCUAAGGAUAUGAUUCCUUACAUAAGCUUGCUACUUCCAGAAGUUAAAAAGGUUUUCCUGUCUCCUCCCAUUCAACCUUUUAUGAUUUUAAACAACAGUUGUCGGCCAAUACCUUUGCACGUCUAUCUAGUAUUUUUUUUUUCAUUAAUAACGAUUGAAACAGGUUCUGGUAGAUCCUAUACCGGAAGUUCGAUCUGUUGCAGCCAGGGCCAUUGGAUCUCUUAUAAGGGGUAUGGGAGAGGAAAAUUUCCCCGAUCUUGUAUCAUGGUUACUAGACACUCUCAAGUCAGAUAGUAGCAACGUUGAACGAUCUGGGGCUGCUCAGGGUUUGAGUGAGGUGCGUUAUGCAUUAAGUUUUCAUAUGAUUUCCCCAAUAGGUUGAUGUUAAUGGCAUUCUUUCUCUUUUCAUCUUUGCUCGUCUACUUUGUAAAGUUGUUACUGCCAAUUUUAUUUCUGUUUUAUUUAAUUUUUGUAGUUCUUGAAAGCAGUUCAUUUUUUCUUCGUUAAAUAUACAACAAUCUUUGGCUGGCCUUUCGGCUGAAAAUUUUGGACAAUUAGUUGCAGAUGACUCCUUAUCAUCCUCUAAUUUUUAGUCCGAGCUUGCUUUACGGUUCCUGUUUUGGUGGUCAUUUUGGCCACUCUUUUUUCUUCACUCUUUUAGGUUUCUGGUUUAAAACGGAAAUGCCGUAUUUUUUCCUUUUUAAUCAGGCAUUUUGCAUCUUCAUUAACUUCUCCAUGUUUCAGGUUUUAGCGGCCCUUGGCAAGGAUUAUUUUGAAAGACUUCUUCCCGAUAUUAUCAGAAAUUGUUCCCACCAAAAGGCUUCAGUCCGUGAUGGGUACCUAACACUUUUUAAGGUCAGAUAAUCCAUCUACAUUGCAUUCUGAUUUCUCAAUUUUUUGAACCAUGUUUAACAGAAUUAUGUGUGCAGUAUCUUCCAAGGUCAUUAGGAGCCACAUUUCAGAAUUACUUGCAGCAGGUUCUACCUGCUAUACUAGAUGGUAAGUUUAUUCUCUGUAUUUCGUGUAUUUGUUCCCAGUUUUAAUUUUAAUUCUUUCCAGGCCUUGCUGAUGAGAAUGAAUCCGUACGUGAUGCUGCACUUAGUGCUGGUCAUGUCUUUGUGGAACAUUAUGCCAGAACGUAAGAUACUUUCUCUGUGAAAUUUUCUUCUUCAACCUUACUAUUUUGCUGAUUGUUCCUAUACUAUCUGCUAUUGUAAUUUCCAAUCAGGUCUUUGCCGCUGCUUCUUCCAGCCAUAGAGGAUGGAAUUUUCAAUGACAACUGGCGUAUUCGGCAAAGCUCUGUUGAGCUUUUGGGUGACCUUCUUUUCAAGGUUCACGAAUUUCUCAUUGACUCAAGAAUGUAGUCUCUUUUAGAGAUUCUUGCUUCAAUUCUCCUAGUAAUGUCUCUGUAGGUCGCUGGAACUUCUGGCAAAGCAAUUCUUGAGGGUGGCAGUGAUGAUGAAGGUUCAAGUACUGAAGCUCAUGGUCGAGCUAUUAUUGAAGUACUUGGUAGGAAUAAGCGUAAUGAAGUUCUUGCUGCAGUUUAUAUGAUUCGAAGUGAUGUUAGUUUAUCUGUUCGGCAGGUAUUUAUGCAUCUUUUUCCCACAUUGAAAUUGUUGAUCUCUUAGUUGAUUUUUCCGAUUAUGAAGUCAUUUACCUUGUCAUCAGGCUGCAUUGCAUGUGUGGAAGACUAUUGUGGCAAAUACACCGAAGACUCUAAAGGAAAUCAUGCCUGUUCUAAUGAACACCCUCAUUUCUUCUCUAGCUUCCUCGUCUUUGGAGCGUCGCCAGGUUUUAAUCUUUUUUUUUAAUUAAUGAUCAUUUAGUUUGCAUAUGCAUGGCCAUUGUGAUGUGAAAUUUUAAUUGCUCCAUUUUUAUAUUCUCUUUUAGGUUGCUGGAAGGUCACUUGGAGAACUUGUUAGAAAGCUUGGGGAAAGAGUUCUGCCUUCGAUUAUCCCUAUUUUGUCACGAGGCCUGAAAGACUCUGAUGCUGGUAGAAGACAGGUGACUGCAUCUUUAUUUUGUUCUCAUCUGAUUAUUGCUCAAAUAUCAUCAGAAAAAAACCAUAUCUAUAUCCCUCUUGUUAACUUUGGAAAAAUAUUUAUUUCCCCUUUUUCUCCCAUGUUCCCUAUAACCAUGAUGUCUCAUUUAUAGCUUUAGCAUUUAUUGUGCAUGUAUUAUCGCUUUUUUCUCAUGAGAUUCCUCAGUAAUCAAGGCUGUUUUUGUUUAGAUUUUCUUUAGUUUAUACUUAUCAGUACUCUUUAAUGGGGCUCAGAACUCUGUCCUUUAUGUUGUUUGGCUCUUCAUGUAAUUCGAACUACUGCUGCAUGACCCAUUUAACAAUGAAAAGAGCUACUUGCCCUGCCCAUAACCCUGGUUUGUCUGAGGACAUGGGAAAACGAAUCGCCAGAGAUGAAUUUGUUUUUAAUAUGGCUAUUCCUUCGCAAAGCUCACUUAUGAUACAAGAUCCGAGCACACACAGGUGGCAGAUCUUUUUGUUCCUUGUAUGAGCAAUCUGUUCUGCAUUUUUUUUAUAAUGUGAUGGACCAAAAUAUGACCGUUGAGUAUCAUUUAUUGCUCCAUUUGAAAUAUGUGUUAAUCCUUGAGACGUGAGCAGGUCUGGCACCAGGCCCCGCAGGGCUUGUGGUUGGCUGGGGCUGACCUGUGCUCUUUGUGCGCCGAGACUCCUAAAUCGCGGAUUUGUUUUGGAUCAGUAGCACUCUUAAUUAAUCCACGAAAGGCGGCUUGGAAACUGUCAGAUAUUGCCUUUUGAGGUUUUUUGUGUUUUGCAUUGAGUCAAAGAAAUGGCAGACCGGGAACAAAGUUUACGAAAUGUUUUUAUUGUUUCUCUCCGCCUUGUGCUUACUCUUACAUUCUUAAAUGCUUUAAGAUGUUUCUCGUCUAGUUAUUUCAUUGUACAUUAAGAAACGGCGUCUUUUUAAUGCAAUAGGCUCAUUGAUUUUCAUUUACUACAGGGUGUUUGCAUUGGACUUAGUGAGGUCAUGGCCAGUGCUGGUAAACACCAGUUGUUGGGUUUCAUGAGUGAACUGAUACCAACCAUUCGGGUGGCUCUAUGCGAUAGGUUUGUUACUACUUUCAUUGGUCUGGCAACUUGUCAACCUGUAAGGCGUUUUCUUGAUACUUGGAAGGAUGAGACAUUUUCUACUCUUUUCUUUCAACAGUGUGCCUGAGGUUCGCGAGUCUGCUGGUUUAGCUUUCAGCACCCUAUAUAAGGUAUUCUCUCAAGCUCUAAACUUGUUUUGGAAGCUUUCUCUAGUUAUGAGUUACCAUUUUAUUAUUAUAUAAAAUUUUCAGAGUGCUGGCCUGCAAGCAAUUGAUGAAAUAGUUCCCACUCUGCUCCAUGCCUUAGAAGAUGAUGAGACCUCUCAUACAGCUCUUGACGGCCUCAAACAAAUUCUGAGGUCUACUCUUACAAAUGCAAUUUACCAAUAACUCCUGUACCAUAAGCUUUAUAUUGUUUCCUAUGGUUAGAUUUAUCUAUUGUAGGUCCAUGUGGUUUCAGAAUAGGUUGCAAAUGGAACGCUAUCAAUGCUAUUUUUGAGUUCGCUUAUAUUUUUUUGUUUUCUUUUUCAUGCAAUCUUUUCACCUUAAUUGCUCAAGUUCUUCUCUUCAUCAUUUCUUCAGUGUGAGAACCGCUGCUGUCUUGCCACAUAUUUUGCCAAAGCUUGUCAAUUCCCCACUUUCGUGAGUAUAUAUCUCUUUCACUAUUAUGAAAACUAGGUUUAAAAUCUGUGCUUGCCCUUAUGGAGAUCUCUGCACAGUGCUUUCAAUGCCCAUGCUUUAGGAGCCUUGGCAGAGGUUGCGGGACCUGCUCUCAAUUUUCACCUUGGAACAAUGCUUCCACCCCUAGUUAUUGCUAUGGGCGAUGAUGAUAAGGUUAGUCUGUUUUCUAGUACUACAGUUGCGUUGUGUGUUCUUCAUGGUGAUUAUGUGGACAGUUCUGUGUUUCCUUAUUUCUGUUGCCAGCGAUCAGUGUAGUAACAUACUUCGUGUGGAUAUAUUAUGCUGCUUUGAUGGUAUGGCGAUAACGACUUAGUUAUGACGAAACUAGAGUAACAUUAAGUUUUUGUAUUUUGAUCAUAUCCACUUUGCGGUACAGAAAUUCCAUAUAAACAAGACGCUUGUAAAGUUUACAUGUUAGAGAAUAUUUGCAUCAAUAUCUCUGUUAUUAGAUUCAAAACCUUUUGGAGCUUACACGUUUUUCUGUUUAGUUUGAUGAUGAAUUCUUUUUGUUGAAUCCUAGAAUGUGCAACAUUUGGCAAAGAAGGCUGCUGAAACUGUUGUGCUAGUUAUAGAUGAAGAGGGUAUUUCUUCGUUGAUGUCAGAAUUGCUCAAAGGUGUCUCUGAUAAUCAGGUUUUGGUCCACAAAGCUCCCUCAGACUUGCAGAAACUUCUCUUCUUUGUAUGUUCAGAGGUUAACUUGUGCCAUCUCUCUUUGUAGCCUUUGAUGAGGAGAGGUUACGCCUAUCUUAUUGGACACUUCUUCAAGAACAGCAAAUUAGAUUUGGUUGAUGAGGCUCCAAAUAUGAUCUCCACAUUGAUUCCUUUGUUGAGCGACAGUGAUCAAGCUACUAUUUUGGUACAGUUGAAGAAGGUCAUUUCCUCCCAGUUAUUAUCCUUAUUUCGUCUUAACCUUGUAUCUCUUGAGCAGGUUUCCUGGGAAGCUCUAGGGAGAGUUAUUGGUUCUGUUCCUAAAGAAGUCCUUCCGUCGUACAUUAAAUUGGUCCGAGAUGCUGUCUCUACGGCAAGAGACAAGGAGCGGAGGAAAAGAAAGGUAUUUCAGUUUGAUAAUUUCAUAGUUUUCCUGUGGCCCGAUACAUCGUAUUAUUUGUGCAUGUUUUUUUUUGUUUAGAAAUUUUCUCACCGUAUUUCGAAUAAAUUUGUUAUUUACUAUGUAUUCUGAAGGCUCUUGUUCUGGAAUUCUUUUUUACUUUGCCAAUGAAACUGCAGGGAGGAUACGUUCUAAUACCUGGAUUUUGUCUUCCUAAAGCCCUCCAGCCACUGCUUCCUAUAUUCCUUCAGGUGUGGAUUUGGUCUACUGUCAACGUGUUUGGAUCCUUAUUUUUUAAAAUGUCUAUGUACAAUACAUUACGUAUCAUCAGAAUUUGUUGUCAUAUACCAACUGGCUAAUAAUCCUUCAUCGUACUGGUCACGGAAUUAUCAUUAAAUGUUGUGACAUGUGCUUGCUUCACUAUUUAAUUUCGCUCACAUGAAAUUUUCAAUCUGAUAAUGUUCUUUAUUUUCAUUGGUUUCACGGCAUAGUUUGCAUAAUAGUAAGUGUGUCCAUUUACAGUAACUUGGUCUACUCAGCUCCUCAUACGUGAUUCUGGUGUUUAAAAAAUUGGUCUGACUUUCACAGGUCUUCUGUUUUUCGAACUGCCUAUGCUCUAAUCUUCACGGCCGAAUCAUCUAACCUUUGUUGGUGUAUACGCGGAAGGGACACCCUUUUCAUUAACUUGAUUCAAAUAAAGAUUGUGCCAAGUAGCUUGGCAUGCGAGCGAAAUUGUUUUCACAACUCAUAGUGGUCAUUAUUAGAAGAAAAACAGGUCACCAGCAGUAACAAAGUCUUAAUUUCUGGGUACCUUCUCCUUGGACGAAGAAAAAUUUACCUACUGCUUGAUUUCUGGGUGUAUGCAUGGGCUGAGCCAAAUUUCUUUGUGAAUAAGCUUUGGUGAUCUUCAAUCAAAUGGGUUUGCAUUUUCAGCUCAUAGAUUUCCAACUGAGUUUAACUCGAAGAAAUCAAACCUGAACAAGGCUGAUGCGGUUCAACAGAGAACUUGAUGUCUUUUACGCGAAAUAUAAAAAUAAAAAAUAUAUAUAUUCAUCGCAUCAAUCGUGAUAAUUUAAGGACCAAAUGAUUCCAGCUUUAUCAUUCUCAAGCCUGGCUUUUUUAGCUUGCAUAUUUCGGUCCUAACACUGAGCCCCUACCAUAAACUAGCCGAAUCAAGCUGACAUAACAAAUGAUAACCCUACUUGAAUGACAUGGAAAUAUCCCAGCAACUUUUGUUAUUCUUUAACCGAAGUGAAAUUUGGAUAUCAUAAAAUCUCAAGCUGAGUAGUAACUUUUGCUUAUUUUGCUCAUUGAUGGUUGCAUGGCUCAUACAUAUUUCAAGACGUCUUAUAUUUGAAGUGCAAUUUUUUUUUCCUGCAUAGCUCAGCUUAUUGUUCUGGAAUGUUCUUUUUAUAGUGGUUAGUCUGAGGAAAUAAUGACCAGAAGAUGGGAGUGAUUUCCCCAGUCAUGUAGCUGGAUGCUCUUUGUUUACUGCUAAACUUUUUUUUUGUCUGUCUGAAUGUCAGUAAUGACUGAUGUUUGAUGGUGAUGCGCGUUAUGUUUGUAGGGUAUAAUUAGUGGUUCAGCUGAAACUAGAGAACAAGCAGCACAAGGCCUGGGUGAGUUGAUUGAUGUGACUGGUGAACAGACGCUUAAGGAGUUCGUUGUUCCUAUCACCGGGUAUGUAUUCUCCUAUAUUCUGCAAUCGUACAAGUUUGGCCUGACUUGAACAAGAUCUUUUGAUGUCACUCAUGUUCGUGGUAUUUCAGUUGAAUAUGGUCACCAAAGUAACCGAUUUUUAAAUGCAAUUGCACGUUCUCGCUUAUAAUAUAUUCAUAUAUUUACUAUCAUACAUUCGGUAACUUGAAGCCAAAUUUAGUUUGUUCCAUAUAUCACUAUUUUUUGUUGUCUGCCUUGGACUGUAAUGAGGCAUCACAUGCUUGAGCAGAUAAACUAGAGAUCACAUCCAAGAAAGUGUAUCUCUCUGCAUUGUAGAUCUCUGUGACUUAAGAAUAGCGUUGAGAAAUGGGCUUCAGUCAUACUAUUCUUUGCAACCUGUUUCCUUAAACUCUCUUGAAAAGGCUGAAGCUACGGUAUAUAAGAGAGCUGUGAAUCAGUAAAUGGUGAAAAGUACAUGCUAUAUAUCCGAGCAUACUAUUCAGUCAUACUAUCCAUGUUUUAUGUUUCAUUUUGUUUGAUUUAAUGUUUGAGCAAAUCCGUUUGCUCAUCCAUAUAUCCGAGCAAUAACAUAUAAAUAGUUAUAUUUCCGAAAUUAUAGUUCAUUUUUAUUUGUAAAAUUUUAUUAACAAAUAUCAUAUAGAUCAGAUACGUUUUUUGGAUUUUUCUUUUGUUCCUUGAUGCCAGUCUUAGGUGUAAAACAAGUGCAGAACGUUUAAAAAACUUGAUAUCAGUGUUAACAUGCUGCCCCUUUUUUCAAGAGAGCCAGAAUUAACAAUUGUUUAUUUUAUUUUUUCCAAUUUUCUGUCAGACUUGAAGUCAUUAAACGGAUUAGAUAUUUUUUUCUUUAUUGUAUUUAGCCCCAUAUAAAUUUUGGACAUUAUUUUAGUCGUACAUGAAGUAAAUUCGUAUAGAAUGGUUGAUACUAUGUCUCUUUAUUCUAUCUCCUAUCUUACUGUUUAUCGUUUGGUGCAUUUUUAAUCAGUUAACAUUUUUUCUGGUGUGUUGAUCUUUACGUGUUAUCACCAUAUGUGUUGAAUCCACCUGUGCAAGAACCCAUUGUAUUAAAUCCACACUACAACUGCUUCUAGCAUUGACAUGUGCCAGGAAAUGUGCCAGAAUUACAUUUUACUGCUGUUUCGUUUCAGGAAAUGUGAAUACAUAAUUCUUCACUCCUGUAAUGUUCUCGAAAAUAAAAUUUAUGUUUAUUCCCUUAGAUUGGAAGCAAGCUACAAAUCCUCCAUGGGAAAAAAAUUCUCCUAGUCGUGUCUUGGACAGCCUUGAUUUCAUCUUGGUACCUUGGAAUUUUCCCUUGUUCUUUUUUAUUUUGACAAAUUUUCCCCGGGAAGCACUGGAGGUUAAUGGAUUGAAAGCAGACUUACUUUUUGAGAAAUGUUAUCAAAAUCAGGUACGGCCUGCUUUCACAUGAAAUAGUGCAUUUUUUUAGUUGCAACGCUGAGACUAAUUUCGUCCACCACAUCCUAUACCUAGUAUCCUCGUAAAUCUUGACUAAAUCCUACUCUAGAACAGCCCUUUUCUGACGGUCCAGAAUAUUUUGUUCUCUCUCGUCGGUUGUGGUUUUUUGUUGGUAAUAAGCUUGAGGAACCCAGUUUUUGCAUCUCUUAGGCUUCAUGAGCAUUUGAGUUCCCAUCCUUAGCAGACUGAGCCUUACGAAUUGUGCUUAUCGAUGCGGUUUAUCUAUGGAUAAAUCUGUUUAAACUGAUCUCCCUGUAUCUUCUUGGAUCUCAAAGGCGACUGACAAGAAAUGUCUAUUACUCGAAACAUAAAAGCUUGACGUUCAGAGAACUACCUGAGUGUCUCUCUUAGGGUAAAUCUUUUUCUCCAAGUCUCCAUAGUAGGAUAGGCUUUGUUGAAUAUCCAGCUCUAGGCUGUAACUCCAUCGUUCUUUUGUGCUACUGCACGCCGUCCCGCUUCCAUUAGUGAAUUUCCUUCUUUUUAAUCAUGGUAGUACGCAGUAUAAAAAUAGAUAGAGCCUUAGUUGCCAAGCGGGAGGCUAGUUUUCGCCUGGCUUCUACCAGCAGACCUCUAUGGUCUAUUGUACAAGCUUCUUAUUAAACUUUCCAAUCUUGCAGUCUAACAUUGCCGUCCUCUACUUUUAGUCCCAGGGUCUACAUAUCUUUGCACGAGCUGCAUUCAAUGUUUCUUCAAUCUUCUUCUGCGGACAAAUAAAAAGCAACUUUUUAGCUCGUGUACCGUUUGAUCCUGGUCCAUAAAAAUAGACAUACACUUUGGAUUUUAUUAUUCUGGAGAAAAACCCUUCAUUGGAAGGUGUUUCGUUGCGUACCUUUUCACUUUUAACAUUUAGAAAUGAUCAGCUGAACUCAGUGGUGUGGUUGGUAUUACAAGUUUGGUUCUGGAUGCUUUGGUUCUGGAUGCUGUGUCCAAAACUCUUUCAAGGCUAGCUUGGGGUGUUUCGGAGCCCCAGAGUUCACUUGGUCUGUGAUCAGGGUGCUUUGUUAUAAUAAAAAUAUCCGCUGGUCUUAUUAAAAAUAUCUCUAGAGCAACACUAUAUUUGAGCUACUAUCCAUGGUGUUUUUAAUUAAAUGCUGCAAUAUUGUACCCGACAAAGACUCCACGCUGUUCUGCUUCAUCUUCCUAUGUAUUUUCAGGAACUUGCAUAUAUUGAUGAUUUUUAACUAUUAUACUUCCUGAAAUGGUCAUCUACAUGCCAUGUGACUAAAAUUAUCCCACGUGACCACUGCUUACUCAACGUAAUCUGAACCGUAGGCAUUAUUUUUUUAUUUAUAAAAAAACGCUUUAAGUUUGAGUACUGCCAGGAUCCUCUGAAUAAACUCUGAACUUUUCUGAUGUCUCUGGGCUGAAAAAAUUGGCGGUUGCUGUCGUUGAUCGAUGCUGUUUCUUGCAGCCCUCUCAUUCGUAUCAUAGGAGAUAGAUUCCCUUGGCAAGUCAAAGAGGCCAUUCUAUCAACCUUAUCUAUCAUCAUCAGCAAGGGCGGAAUAGCGCUUAAACCUUUUCUUCCGCAGCUUCAAACUACAUUCAUUAAAUGCCUCCAGGAUAAUGCAAGGUUCUCUCACUUAUUUAUUGGCUCUCAGUCUCCAUUUCAGUUUUUUUUUCUCCCAGUCGUGCUAAUUUUUAGUAUGCAGGUCGGUUCGAUCAAGUUCAGCCCUUGCUCUUGCAAAGCUUAGUGCUCUUAGCACCCGGAUCGACCCGUUGGUCACGGACCUCUUAUCUGCUUUGCAGGUAAUUCUUUUGAACAUGCCACAUCAUUAAAUGCAAUUUUCUAUAUUUAGAAAUAAAUUCUGAGUGCAAAUGGUGUUCAGGCAUCUGACGUUAGUAUCCAAGGCGCUGUAUUGGCGGCCCUCAAAGGUGUUAUAAGGCAUGCUGGAAAGAGCGUCAGCAACAGCGUCAAAUCCCGCGCAUGCCUCCUCGUCAAAGAUUUUAUACAACUCGAUGAUGAAGAGCUGCGCAGCUCUGCUGCCAAAGCCCUGGGGGCCAUUUCCAAAGUAUUUAAAUUUUUCUUAAUUUUGUCAUUAUACCUUCCGAUGAUCCGUAGAACCCUAGUUCUAAAAUAGCAGAGAAAUCCAACCCGUGGUCUAUUUAUUCCCUUUUUUUUCUGGUUUCAUUUUUAUUUUUCCCUUGCAGUACUUGGAAGACCAUGAAGUAUCGGACAUGAUGGGAAGUCUAUCAAGCCUCAGUUCGUCUGCAAACUGGUCGGUCAGGCAUGGAUCGGUGCUGACUCUCGCAUCCAUGUCCUUGAACAACCCGUCAGCGAUGUGCCUCUCUGCAACAUUCCCAUCAGUCGUCAGUCGCCUUAAAGUGGCCUUGAAGGACGACAAGGUGCGGCGAAGCUACCGUCCAAUCUCUUUAUGAAUUAUCCCUUUGAUUGCGGUGGGUUCGAGAUCUAAUUAUCACGUCUCAUGGUGAUCCUCUUGCAGUUUCCCAUUCGAGAAGCCGCCACGAGAGCGCUGGGGAGCCUCUUGCUGCACCUCGUGCAGAAUGAGAAAUCUGCGCCCGGCCCCUCGGAGCUGCUCCAGCUCCUUCCAUCGGCCAUGCAGGACGAAUCGAGCGAAGUCAGGCGGAGAGCGCUGUCUUGUUUGAAAGGAAUCGCCAAGGUCAACACUCUCACAUCACUUCCCUGUUCGACUCAAGAACACCAUCCCAGCUGACCGGUCGUCGGAAUUGGCAGGCGAAUCCUUCGGCCGUCCUGAACAGCCUCGCCAUUCUCGGACCGGCGCUCGCAGACUGCUUGAAAGAUGGGAACACCCCUGUUCGCCUUGCAGCCGAGCGCUGCGCCCUGCAUGCCUUCCAGCUGACCAAAGGUACUACAAAGCUGUCGCAUAUAGAUGGUUAUUUUCCUUUCACGGUACUUCUUAUCCUGGGCCCCCCAUUAUUUCUGGAAAAACCCAGAUGGGCAACCGGCGCCAUUAGGGUUCUUACACCUCCGCUGAUCCAUGUGGCAGGUGCAGAGAGGAUCCAGGCCGCCCAGAAAUACAUCACUGGCUUGGAUGCCAGGAGGCUGUCGAAGCUCCCUGAGAACAGGUAUCGUUGCCGAUUCACCGCUCUAAAUUAUACAUCUCAGAGGGGGGAAAAUAGAAACUUUUGUGAAUAAUGGGGUUCUGGAUAAGCCCCGAUCUGGUCCCUAGAAGGAAUAAUAACCUUCACACCCUUCUCUUGCAGCGACGACAGCGAGGACAGUGAGGAUGAGAAAAUCGGCGGCUGAUCUACGGCGUUGAAGCUUGCCCAUUUUGAACCUGAAGACCAGUAAUGUGAGAGAGAGAGAGAGAGAGAGAGGGCAUUUCUUUUUUUAGAGAUUUUUGAAGGGCAGUGUGCAACUUGUGGACCUAAACAUGGGUUAUUUUUUAAUUAUGCGAUAUUUUUUCAUAAUCGAAUAAUAAAAUUAAUUGGGGAUGUAGCUCAAAUGGUAGAGCGCUCGCUUUGCAUGCGAGAGGCACGGGGUUCGAUCCCCCGCAUCUCCAAUCAUAUCGGAUCAGCCGAUCAUCAUCUUAUGAAAUAAUGAUGCUCGCUUCGCCUUGCUCUCUUUUUGCUCCCUCUACAGGAAAACGAUCGAGUCUAAAUGGGCCGGCCCACCAUCGACGUGGGCCGGGCCGAUGUCGGUCACAUUAAGCUAAAUUAAGUAAUCAGCGUCGCAUUCAUCCUCUGCCGCAGUUGUUCGAACAGUCCCUGUGGGCUCCCGCCGGGUGCAGCUAACGUGGACGCCUCGUCGUUUCCAACAGAGAGAGGACGGCUCACGGCUCUCGCACGUGUGGCUCAACGCUGUGCUGGUCAGCUGGCUGUGCUUGCACGCGCCCCCCCAUCCAACGGACCACAGCGUCUCUCUCUCUCUCGCUAACGACGUAUGAGCCGUCGACAUCGGUGACAAUGGGAGCGACGACAAGAUCGCCAUUCCCCUAAGCUCCAAACAUGAGAGAAUAUUAGAUGGGGGAGCUUCUUUGUCUAAGGCGGGGGAAGGCUAACGAGUCAGCACCCACCGAGACGUUGACCACAAAGGUUAAUUCGACGUCACAUCCCCCUUUCAUGCUGACUCGGAAGAUCAUAGGAUCUCUUCAUUCCUCAUUCCUCAUUCCUCUCUCUCUCUCUCUCUCUCUCUCUCGACUGCGAUGGUUGCAUUAAUGAAGGCCGAUCACCUGGUGACAGAGCAUCUUCAGGGUUAUCGUCAUCAGGAUCGGAGCCACACGGGGAGCUGGAAGGCACUCCUCCUCUGGGGAAGAAAGGUGUCGAUUUCUGGUGAAUUUGGUGUUUGCAGAGCGCAGUACGAUGCGGAGUAGAAGGCGGCAGCUGUUGCCACCUGGGUGCGCACUGCUUGGCAAGGCUCGGUAAAACCCUAGAAGACGGCCCCCCCCCUCUCCGUGCUCCCCACCUUCGUUGGCCCUUUCUCUCUCCUCUUCUCUGCCCCCACGUGUCGGGGGCCGCAGCAGAAGCCGAAAGAAGGGAGUGAUCGUGGAGGUUGAGAGAGAGAGAGAGAGAGAGAGAGAGAGNNNNNNNNNNNNNNNNNNNNNNNNNNNNNNNNNNNNNNNNNNNNNNNNNNNNNNNNNNNNNNNNNNNNNNNNNNNNNNNNNNNNNNNNNNNNNNNNNNNNNNNNNNNNNNNNNNNNNNNNNNNNNNNNNNNNNNNNNNNNNNNNNNNNNNNNNNNNNNNNNNNNNNNNNNNNNNNNNNNNNNNNNNNNNNNNNNNNNNNNNNNNNNNNNNNNNNNNNNNNNNNNNNNNNNNNNNNNNNNNNNNNNNNNNNNNNNNNNNNNNNNNNNNNNNNNNNNNNNNNNNNNNNNNNNNNNNNNNNNNNNNNNNNNNNNNNNNNNNNNNNNNNNNNNNNNNNNNNNNNNNNNNNNNNNNNNNNNNNNNNNNNNNNNNNNNNNNNNNNNNNNNNNNNNNNNNNNNNNNNNNNNNNNNNNNNNNNNNNNNNNNNNNNNNNNNNNNNNNNNNNNNNNNNNNNNNNNNNNNNNNNNNNNNNNNNNNNNNNNNNNNNNNNNNNNNNNNNNNNNNNNNNNNNNNNNNNNNNNNNNNNNNNNNNNNNNNNNNNNNNNNNNNNNNNNNNNNNNNNNNNNNNNNNNNNNNNNNNNNNNGAGAGAGAGAGAGAGAGAGAGAGAGAGNGUGUCGGUGGGAGGGGGGGGGGAGGGGAGAGGAAGGCCGGAGCGAAAGGUUAGCCGCAGGCGAGCAGGAUUGCUUGCUCUCUGCGGCUGCUCACGGCGCCGCCGCCGCCGCUCUACUCUCUCGCGCUCCGGCUGCUCCUCCCCAGUGCCCUCACCCUGCCGCGUUUCUCUCUCUACACGCCGCUACGUUUGUUUAGGGAGGAUCCGCGUCGGCUUGCAUGCGGAUCGACAGCAAAUGGAGAAGGGCCAAACUAAUAUAAGUAAUAUUGGGUUUUUCUUUUUCAUGCUGGCCACACCCUCUUGUCAUCUUCCUCCCCCAAGCUUUGCCCUCCUCGCUCCCUUCUUCAGAUGAGGACACAGAACCCUCUCUUGUUUUGAUCCGCAUUGCUGUAGGUUCCCGUCGCCUGUUUCCCGUCUGCAAUCUGUCCCGGCUGCCCCGCCCCCUCUCGAUUCUUCUCCCCGGGGCACCAGCUUGAUGGUGAGAUGCCCGUAGCGGGGGAUACAGCCACAGAGUCUCCCGCCGCCGCCGUCAUCUCCCCGUCGUCCUGCUCCCUCAGCCGCGCGGCGGCUAUCCCCGCAGGAUCCGGUCGCCUCCGGCGAUGGCCCCUCUCCCACUUGACCUCCCGUUAUGGGAGCAGGUCGCGGUGUUCGUCCACUCGGCUCUGCUCCUCCUCGUCCUCCUCCUCGCCGUUUUCCGGUGGGCCAUCUCGUGUCUGGUGGGGCGGCGCGCCCCGGCGGCUCACAAGGAAGAGCGAGGGAAUCCGAUUCCGGCCAGUGGCGCCUUGGGAGCCGCCGGCCCCAUCGCUUCUGGUAAACUGUUCAUGUCAUCUGUCUCCUGCUGCUGCUACCUCCUCCUUCUCCAGGUGAUUGUUCUAGUUUGGGAGGCCGCAGGAUUAUCCAGAACGGAUGCCGAUUCUAGAAAUUAUUCCACUGUUUACUUGCCGUCAGUCCAGGCAUUGGCCUGGCUGGUCCUCAGUUUGGCGGCGCUCCGCUGCAGGUUCAGAUUAGCGGAGAAAUUCCCCUUCAUGGCGAGGGCAUGGUGGUUCUCCUCCUCCCUCCUCUGUCUCUACUCCGUGUUCCUCGAGACCAUAGGCCUCAUUCAGGGGUCUCUCGUUUUCAACUCCCACAUGGCGGCCAACUACGCGGCCAUUCCUGCUCUCGCUUUCCUCUGCUUGGUCGCCCUCCGCGGGUCGACGGGCAUCGACCGUCCUUCCGGCGGCUCUGACCUCCGGCGGCCCCUUCUCUCCGACGACGACGAGGCCGGUUGCCUCAGGGUCACCCCCUACAGUGAAGCGGGGAUUCUCAGUCUCGUCACCCUCUCGUGGCUCAACCCCCUCCUGUCGAUUGGGGCGGAGCGGCCCCUGGAGCUGAAGGACAUCCCUUUGCUGGCGCCCAAAGAUCGCGCCAAGGCCUCCUACAAGCUGCUGAGCCACCACUGGGAGAGAUUCAAGGCGGAGAGCCCUUCGAAGCCGCCUUCUCUCACCUGGGCGCUCUUCCGGUCCUUCUGGAAAGAAGCGGCCAUCAACGCCAUCUUCGCCGGCCUGAACACCCUCGUCUCCUACGUGGGUCCGUUCCUGAUCAGCUACUUCGUCGACUACCUGGGGGGGAACAUCAUCUUCCCCCACGAGGGCUACCUUCUGGCCGGGGUCUUCUUCUCCGCGAAGCUCAUCGAGACGCUGACGACGCGCCAGUGGUACCUCGGAGUCGACAUUCUGGGCAUGCAUGUAAGGUCGGCCCUCACGGCCAUGGUGUACCAGAAGGGCCUCAGGCUGUCGAGCACGGCCCGCCAGAGCCACACGAGCGGCGAGAUUGUGAACUACAUGGCCGUCGACGUCCAGCGAGUGGGAGACUACUCGUGGUAUCUGCACGACAUAUGGAUGCUGCCUAUGCAGAUCGUUCUGGCUCUGGCGAUUCUGUACAAGAAUGUGGGGAUCGCCUUCAUUGCAACUCUGAUCGCCACCGUAGUCUCCAUUGUUGUGACCAUCCCUCUGGCGAAGAUGCAAGAGGAGUACCAGGACAACCUGAUGACGGCCAAGGACGAUAGGAUGAGGAAGACCUCCGAGUGCCUGAGGAACAUGAGGAUCCUCAAGCUCCAGGCCUGGGAAGACAGGUACAGGCUGAAGCUGGAGGAGAUGAGGAACGUGGAGUUCAAAUGGUUGAGGAAGGCCCUCUACUCGCAGGCCGUGAUAACCUUCAUCUUCUGGGGCUCGCCCAUAUUUGUCUCGGUCAUCACCUUCGGUACCUCCAUCCUCCUGGGCGGUCAGCUCACGGCGGGCGGCGUCCUCUCCGCCCUGGCCACCUUCAGGAUCCUGCAAGAGCCCCUCAGGAACUUUCCCGACCUCGUCUCCAUGAUCGCCCAGACAAGGGUAUCCGUGGACAGGAUAUCAGGCUUUCUGCUGGAGGAGGAGCUGCAAGAAGACGCCACUGUGCUCGUCCCUCCGAGCUCAACUGACAUUGCUGUGGAAAUCAAAGAUGGGGAAUUUCGCUGGGACCCUUCUUCUGCAAGGCCCACCCUUUCGGGCAUACAGCUGAGCGUGGAGAGGGGAAUGCGGGUCGCCAUCUGUGGCGUGGUUGGAUCGGGGAAGUCGAGUUUCCUUUCCUGUAUUCUUGGAGAGAUACCCAAAAUCUCAGGUGAAGUAAGUAAACUCAACUCUUAACCUGCAACUUUAUUCUAUUUUUAUAAAUUCUUCGUGCUCUCUUCCUUUUCUCCUCUGACUUCCCCUUCUCUCUUCAGGUCAAAAUCAGCGGCUCUGCAGCUUAUGUCUCUCAGUCUGCUUGGAUACAGUCUGGGAAUAUUGAAGAGAAUAUCCUCUUUGGGAGCCCAAUGAAUAAGCCAAAAUACAAGAACGUCAUCCACGCUUGCUCACUGAAGAAGGACUUGGAGCUGCUCUUGCAUGGGGACAAGACAAUAAUUGGUGACAGGGGUAUUAAUUUAAGUGGCGGCCAGAAACAGAGGGUGCAGCUGGCCAGAGCGCUCUAUCAGGAUGCCGACAUUUAUCUACUGGAUGACCCGUUUAGUGCAGUGGAUGCACACACUGGGAGUGAAUUAUUUAAGGUCAACGCCAUGCCCUGUCAUCUUAUGUCAUUAUUUUUGGGGAUUUUUUUUCGAGUAUGGCAAAUCUCAGCCCUCUGUUUUGGUUUUUGCAGGAAUACAUAUUGACGGCGUUGGCCAGUAAAACCGUGAUUUUUGUGACUCAUCAAGUUGAGUUCUUGCCGUCUGCAGACCUGAUACUUGUAUGUAGCUCGUCCACUUGACUCUUCUAUACCCCUCCUUUCUGAUUCUGAGAGAUCUGAAAAUUAACGUGUGCAUUAGUUUCACACGCUGUUGAGCUCUCCCUGUAUUUAGCAGUCUACGUUAUAAAAUUCCUUCCAUUUAAAGAGAAAGAUGCCAUGAGUUAAUAUAAUGAUGCGAGUGGCCUCCCAGUUUUAACCCUUGGAAAUGGUAACCCAGGAACCAGGGGACGCACGGAUAGCCCAUUCACAUUUAGCAGGAUAUUGGAGAGGUAACGUCGGCUAUUCACAUCUAAAUAUAUAUGGGUUCUUGACGCUCUGUGCUAUGGAGAGAUCAAAGGGAUAAAGUCAAGAAAAUGUGGGCUCUGUGCUCUGCAUCGUUAGGGAUUUAUAAUCAUCCAACCAUUUCGAUUCCACUUAUAGGUUGAGGAUAAUAAUGUCAGAUAUUGGGAAUUAUAUUAAGAUCUCCCCUCUUCUUUUAAUAUGCCUAUUCUUUGCUGUGCCGUGAUAUAUUUCUUUGCCUUAUGUGAGAGGAACAAUGACGGCUAAAAUGAGUUUAUUUGAGCUUUUUUAGUAAAAUAAUUCAAUCUACUUCCAGCAAUCUGUGGGAUGGGUUCUUUGCUUAAAAGGGUUGCUAUGACUGGAUGAUCAUAGCUUAUUCUUCUGUUAUACGAUGGUGAUCACUGGGACAUGGAGGUACCCAUUCAUUGGGAAUCUGAAGACAUGAAGCUUUUUGGCAAGGGCACCUUUUGAGUGUUCCCAAGGUCUUUUGGCCUGGAAUAACCUUCGUUGCCUUUCGCUUGGCUGCAGGUCCUCAAAGAUGGCCAAGUAAUACAGGCCGGAAAAUAUGAAGAUCUUUUACAGGCUGGGACUGAUUUCAAUGCUCUGGUUUCAGCCCAUCAUGAAGCUAUUGAGGCCAUGGACAUUCACGAGGGCUCACUUGAAGAUUCAGUAGGGGCCGCUCCGGAAAGCUCCUUCCCCUCGAGGAAGAGAUUGGAGUCCAACAUCAGCAGCCUCGACAAUAUGAACAAGGAAACCAGAGAAAAUGGCUCUUCAUCGGAGAAGAAGGUGAUAAAAGAGAAGAAGAAGGCCAAAGGCUCUCGUAAGAAGCAACUUGUUCAAGAAGAAGAGCGGGAGAGGGGGAAAAUUAGCUUGACAGUGUAUCUCUCCUACAUGGCUGCAGCAUAUAAGGGGGCUUUGAUACCAUUGAUUGUCCUUGCCCAGGCAAUGUUUCAGAUGCUUCAGAUAGCAAGCAACUGGUGGAUGGCCUGGGCGAAUCCACAGACCUCUGGCGACUCACCAAAGACCAGUAGCAUGGUUCUUCUUCUUGUUUACAUGAUCCUGGCAUUCGGGAGCUCGUGCUUUGUGUUCAUUCGAGCUGUCCUGGUCGCUACUUUCGGCUUGGCAGCCGCACAGAAGCUGUUCUUGAAGAUGCUGAGGAACAUCUUCCGGGCUCCCAUGUCUUUCUUCGAUUCGACUCCUUCUGGGCGGAUACUAAAUCGGGUAAGCUACGCUUAUCACCAUAGCACGAAUCUCUUGACCAUUUACAGCAUGAGAUUAAACAAUGGGACGCUUAUUAUCGUUUUCCGUCUUAUGUAUAUGAGAUGAUCAGGUGUCUGUGGAUCAGAGUGUUGUGGAUCUCGAUAUUCCUUUCAGACUUGGUGGGUUUGCUUCAACAACCAUUCAACUUCUUGGUAUAGUUGGUGUGAUGUCGAAGGUCACAUGGCAAGUGCUGCUCCUGUUCUUCCCCAUGGCUAUUGCUUGCUGGUGGAUGCAGGUAAUAAACCGCAUCGCUCACUUGCUGUGGAGUCAUCUUAUGUCAGCUAAGCCUUUAAUUACUGCUAUUAUCUGCUUAAGUGCAUGCUUUGUAGAAGCCCCACUGAAUCAUCCAACGCCAUUUUGUUAUAUUAUUCUGUUCCUCUGGUAAAAGGAAAUAUGGGGUUAACCCUCAUGAUCUUACAUCUAGUUGAAUCAAUCUGUGAAUAAUUUAUGAUUUCUAGAGUUGGAAAAAUAUCCUAAGCAACAGUCAACAGUGAUCUGCUAACCUAUGGUGAUGAUGUCAAGAACAGUCGUUGAGGUGUGGUCAGUGACCAAUCAUCAGGUCGAGAUGACUUGAUGAAGAAUCUUAUCUAGCUGAUUCGGAUCCAGCAAUGGUCUAAAUAUUGUGCUCAAGAUUAUGAGAGACUUAUGAACAAGCAAAGAUUAGGCGUUUGGCCUGAAGACCGAGGCUCCUUUUGUAUUUAUUUUUUUUACUUUUAUAUUUUUAUUUGUUCUUUCCUUUUUUUGCACUUGCGCCAUUUAAUAUAUAUACUAUUCCUAUAUCAUUGAAUGGGGUUUGCUCAUUACCGAGUUGUCUUGGUGAUGGAAUUUGAGAAUGCUUUAUGAGGAAAUUAUUCAAUCUCUACGCUUUGUGCAGAAGUACUACAUGGCUUCAUCGAGGGAGCUUGUGCGCAUUGUCAGCAUCCAGAAAUCCCCCAUUAUUCACCUGUUUGGAGAGUCCAUUGCGGGAGCAGCUACCAUCAGAGGCUUUGGCCAGGAGAAGCGGUUCAUGAAGAGGAAUCUCUAUCUGCUCGACUGCUUUGCCCGCCCCUUCUUCUGCAGCCUUGCCGCCAUUGAGUGGCUCUGUCUCCGCAUGGAGCUGCUCUCAACCGUUGUGUUCGCCUUCUGCAUGGCCAUCCUGGUUAGCUUCCCCCACGGAACCAUUGACCCAAGUAGGUACUGCAUGACCUUCUUGUUCAUCCGGUUUAGUCAUAUUUCUAAUUUUGUUUUUAAUGUUUUUUCUACUCUGGGAAGUUCGGGUUCAUGCUUCAAGCAGGAUUAGGAGAGUAAUCUCUCAAGUCAAAUGAAUGCAUGGGCGUUUUCUGCUCAUCGACUGCUGUAUUAGAGUGAGAUUAUUGGAAAAUAAUGCAUGAUUUCUUGAGUUGUAAACAUGGCUGUUGAAAGUUAUAAGUUGUAAGGAAAUAGUGUAAAGAUUGAGGGACUUUGAGAAAAAUGUCCAGAGUUACUCCCGUUAUAAAUGACAUUAGAGGGGAAUAAAUAUUAAGACGGUUGUUGUUGUUCUUCCCUCUGUCCUCCACAACAUAGGUCAUUUCUCUCACUUCAUGUGUACCUCUGAUUUUCAACAUGCUAUCAGAACGAAUCACUCUUUUUCUUCCUUUCCCAUUGAUCGAUUUCUCUACAAUUAUAGUUUUUGAACUGUCCUUUCUUCAUCUCUAUAGAGAUUUGCUGACGAGAUAUCAAAUUUAUUGAUUAUAGUCACUUUCUUGAAGUAUUCUCUUGGCAUUAGGGUUCUUGUACCGUUUUUUCAUUAUCUUUAUUGAAAUCUGUUGACGAAACAUUAGUUAUUGUGAAUUCAGUCGUUUUCUUGAUAAGUCAAAUGUGGAAGAUAUUUCUUCUUCUUCAGAAGAUCUUUCUUUCAUGAAGGACUUUAACCCUAGCCUCAAUCCUCUAAGACUUCUAUCAGAGCAGAGGUUCAACCCUAACAUCGUCAUUUCUACUGCCAUCGCCACCAUCUUCUAAGGUAUUCGGCGACAAGGAAAGUAAUCGAUCGAGGGAGAUCGCAACAUCGGGCCAUACUUUGGCAACCCUUGAAGUCAUGAGGCUGUCUUACCAUUACUUCUGCCUCUGCCACCAGUUCAAUGCCGCCACCAGCCUACCACCUUUGUAGACGGUGUCGUCUAUCUAGCGCUGCCUUUACUGCUGCCGCAACCAUAGCUGCAGCUGUCUCCCCCUAACAAUCUUCCACUCUAGGACUUCACCCCUUCUUUGCUGCUGUAACAGGUCGUUGCUGUCAUUGAUGACAUCUUCCACUAGUGCUCUGGCAUCAUUUCUUAGCACCUUUGUUUUCCCUGGUGAGAUCUUCCAUCUGUGCCUAUCUUUAUCAGACUUCAUGUCAUGUUGUCUUUGCUGUCAUUGUUGUUGUCCUCUGGUGGCAGCAGCUCUCCUGCCAUUUAUUGGCACAUUAUCCUACCAUUUUGAACAGUUUUUUUCUUUGACCAUUUAGCAUGGUCUCUUCUUCUGUCAAUCUUACUCUAAGGACGACGAGUUUUCUUCUUCUUGCAACUAUAUGACCCUUAAUUCCUCUAUUUGGCCUAAUUUCUCCUCAAGAAGAUUGAGAGCACAGCAUUUUCUGGCUGAGGAUAGGGUGUCUCUUGCAACUGUAUGACCUUAAUUCCUCUAUUUGGCCUCUUUUCUCCUAGAGAGGAUUGAGAGCACAUCAUUUGCUGGCUGAGGAUAGGGUGUAUCUUGCAGCUGUAUGACCCUUAAUUCCUCUACUUAACCUCAUUUCUCCUGGAGAGCAUUGAGAGCACAGCAUUUUCUGGCUGAGGAUAGGGUGUCUCUUGCAGUUUUAUGACCCUUAAUUCCUCUAUUUGACCUCAUUUCUCCUAAAGAAGAUUGAGAGCACAUCAUUUGCUGGCUAAGGAUAGAGUGUCUUUUUCUAUUACAUGACCGUUAAUACCUCUAUUUGGCCUCAUUCCUCUUAGGGAAGAUUGAGAGCACAACAUUUACUGGUGUUUUUCUUAUUAGUUGACUUCGACUUUCUAGUAUCACUGGCAUAUUCAUCACUAAAGAAUCAUUUCAUUGUGUUCCUCACUGUUUUUCUUCAAUUUAGUGUUAUCCACAAUACAGUAUUUUUCGUCUGUCAUCUUAGUGAACAGUCCUCAAAAUUUUUCCUGCCCUCUAUCCUAUAUUCAUAUAACAUCAUUUCCUCAGUCCAAGGAUUAUAGUAUCCCACAAUCUGCAUUCCUUUGUAUCAUGCCAAGAUUAUCAAGUGCCAUCCAAUCUUUGUCAAAGAUCAGCAAAGAAAUUCUUCAACAUCAAGACAAUGGGAAUCUUAACAAAGGAGCUACCACAACAGAUCAUAAAUGGCAUACUCGUCAAAGAAUUAAUCAAGAUGAACUUUUCUGGAGUUCAUCUUAAAAGGAAGUGUGAGAAGUUCUAAGUUGUAAGAAAAUAUUGUAACAAUUGAUGGACUUUGAGAAAAAUGUCUAAGGUUACUCCCUAUAUAAACGACACUAGAGAGGAAUAAAUCUUGAGACGGUUGCUGCCAUUCUUCUCUCUAUCCUCCACGGUAGAGGUCAUUUCUCUCCUUUCAUGUGUUCUAUUGUGUACCUAUGAUUUUCAAUAAUGGCUUUAGAGAGAGAAAGGAGGACGAAUAAAAUAACUGGUCUACUCGACUUAUUUCCAUUUUUUUUUCGAUCAGCCCGAUUUUACAUCCUUGAUGCUCAAAAUUUCUCUCUUCACCAGGAUCAGGCAUCGGAACCGUGGGCCUUUUCUGCUCAUUGGCCCUUGAUUUCCAGUGGGUCUAUCCUACUUUUCUCCCAUCUUUUUUCAAUAAUGGGAGUGAUGAUGGAAGUGAUGAUUGGUACCCUGGUGCUCAGAUUUCUCCCUUUAAUGGCUGAUUUCCCUCCUUGGAUGGCAGGCAUGGCGGGCCUUGCUGUAACCUAUGGCCUAAACCUGAAUGCACGGCUGUCGAGGUGGAUAUUGAGCUUCUGCAAGCUCGAGAACAAGAUCAUUUCAAUCGAGCGCAUCCAUCAGUACUGCCAGAUACCUGGGGAAGCUCCUGGAGUCAUUGAGGGCACUCGGCCCCCGCCGUCUUGGCCCGAGAAUGGAAAGAUCGAGCUGGUUAAUCUCAAGGCGAGUCGUCCCCUUCAUCCCGUCCUCUAUUAUCAGUGUACAAAAAUAGCCAUGUUUGAAGCUUUCAUUCGUGCUUGAAUGGCGCCACCGCAGGUCCGCUACAAGGAGAACCUGCCCUUCGUCCUCCACGGCGUGACCUGCACAUUCCCGGGGGGGAAGAAGAUCGGGAUCGUGGGUCGCACGGGCAGCGGCAAGUCAACUCUGAUCCAGGCUCUGUUCCGUCUGAUCGAGCCCUCGGAGGGGAAGAUCGUGAUAGACGGCGUGGACAUCUCCACCAUCGGCCUCCACGACCUCCGGGGGCAUCUCAGCAUCAUCCCCCAGGACCCCACCCUGUUCGAGGGCACCAUUAGAGGAAACCUGGACCCGCUUGAGGAGCACUCUGACGGAGAAAUCUGGCAGGUAGAUUACUGCGAUCAAUCUCCGAAUCCCCUUCUCUUCUGAUGGCCGGUUCUGAGGAAAAUCGUUCUGGGUUCUCUCUCCAGGCGCUCGACAAAUCCCAGCUGGGAGAGGUGAUCCGUGAGAAGGAUCAGAAGCUCGACACUCCCGGUAAUGAAUUUUAUUUCCUCUUCUGGGCAGUAAGAAUCCGAGCCUGUUCUUCCUAAAGCUGCUGCCUUUUUCCGCGUUCUAAUCGCUGCGGGUCUGCCCCCGUGCCGCAGUGUUGGAGAACGGAGAUAACUGGAGCGUGGGGCAGAGGCAGCUCGUCUCCCUGGGGAGGGCGCUGCUGAAACAGGCGCGGAUCCUGGUGCUGGACGAGGCGACGGCGUCGGUCGACACGGCCACGGACAACCUCAUCCAGAAGAUCAUCCGGAUGGAAUUCAGGGACUGCACCGUCUGCACCAUAGCCCACCUCAUCCCCACCGUCAUAGACAGCGAUCUGGUGCUCGUUCUCAGCGAUGGUGAGCUCCCCAUCUCGGCCGGCGGCCAUGUCCCCCCCACCCCCCCCCCACUUGAAAUGACUCCGGAAUCGCCGCUCUGCGCAGGGAGGAUCGCGGAGUUCGACAGCCCGCUGCGGCUGCUGGAGGACAAGUCCUCCAUGUUCCUGAAGCUCGUCGCAGAGUACUCCACGAGGUCGAGUAGCCUGCCGGACGCUUGAGCUCUUCUCCGGCGGAGGGCCCGGCGUGGCGCUUGGACUCCAUGCAGAUGAAUCUGGUGAUCCCGCAGGCGGGGGAAGAGGAUGUGUGGGGGCGGCGGCGGCGAACCUCAGUGAGCGAGUGUGAGAUGGGGGAGUUGAGCUUCCUGGGUUCACACGUCGCGAGAAGAACUUGUCUGUAAGAGAGGGCAGGAAGACGGAGCACGUCGACCGGCGGAACUAGUAGUCUGUAAGAGCUCGCUCUGAAAAUAAGGCGACGGGUGCAAUUUUUCUCCCAGCCCUCGAUAUCUUCUCUGCCCCUGUAAUGCGCUCUCUCUCUCUCUCUCUCUCUCUCUCUCUCUCUCUCUCUCUCUCUCUCUCUCCCUCUCUGCUCCUGGAAUGCAUUCUACGAUACAAUGGCAUGGUCUAAGUCAUGGUCCGGCUCGGCUUUCCUCCCCCUUCCCAGUCCCCAUCGGAGAUGGGGCCGUGAGGAAAUGAUUGUGAGAGUGCAUUCUGCAGCCGCAGGGCAGUACCAUCGCCAUUUCUUUACCGGGUAGGUACAAGCAGUCGUGUUGAGCUUUUCAAUCCGAAGCAGAGAGGGAGAGGAGAGAGAGAGAGAAGAGAGAGAGAGAGAGAGAGAGAGAGCUAGCUUCUUUCAUCACCCUCCCACAUGUUCUUCUCCUUGGGGCCGGUGGGUCCUUCCUCCCCAUACAAUUCCACUGGGAGUUUGGCGAAUAUGCUCUCCACGGUGAAUCUGAGGUUGAAAGGCAAGAAGCUGAUGAUCCUCUCCAACUCCGACCGCGAGGUGUAGACGAUGGUCGGCCCCCACUCCCGCAUGUACUGCAGCCAGCAGGGCUCCGCCACCGCGCCGCCGAGGUACUCGGCGGCGACGAUCUGGUACCUGACGCUGGAAUCCACAGUGAAGUCGCUCCUCGCGGUGUCGUUCCUGAUCCCUAUCCCCAGCUUCUCCGAGCCCUGCAGGAAGUCGCCGGCGUGCGGGAAGCUCGCGUGCCCGCUCUUGGACGAGUACACGGCGGCCCUGUUUCCGGCGACGAACUCCAGCUCGCCGGCGUCGACCCACUCGCCGCCGCUGUGCUGAGAGAAGUACACGCUCCAUAGCUCGCCGGAGAAGUUGCUCACCCGCAGCGUGAAGUGCUCCCAGUCGCCGACGUGCUCCCCGAUCCUGCUCAUCGGAAAGCUCACUGGCCCGAUCUUUACCGUGCUCGGCCCGUUGAAGGGGCAGAAGACCCACAUCGCCAGAUCCGUGAAGGUCCCUCCCAUGGCGGGCUUCGCGUGGACGUAGAGCUCUGCGCUGUCGAUGUUCCCCCUCUUCACCUCCUCCGCUCGGUCGCUGGCGAGAUCUAUCCAGUACUCGCCGUCGUUGCCGCCGCCGGGGGGGAGGUUGGAGCCCUUGGAGUCGAUCGGCACGCCGCCACCGCCGUCCCCCCGCCUGCAUAUCACAGCCCCGUUCUUGAAGAACCACGGCACAGACGAUGGCAAGUACGCCUCCUCUGGGUGGAAGAACACGGUGGGCCCGUAGUGCUUGACCAGCGCGUUGACCUGAUCCAGGUUCGGCAUCGCCGCCAGGGACUUGCUCGUGUUCUUCAGGCAGGCGAUCCCCAGCUCCUCCACGUCCGAGGGAUCCUCUGAGCUGCAGAAGAAGGUCCCCACGGAAACCCCGGUGGCCCACAUCCCUCUGCUGCGAGGCCUCGCCGUCCAAGCUCUGAAGGGGCCCCCCGAGGGCGGCGCCGCCAUGUCGGCGCCGUCGAAGAUGACUUCGUGGGUCUCCGGCGAGUCCGUCAGAUCAGAGCGGACGCAUCUCACCUCCUCCAGCGGGGGCUUCUCCGGCGUGUCGGUGACCACGAAGCCCAUCGCUCUGUAUCCCGCUGGCGGGCAGGGGAGCCAGAAGAAGCCGCACCCGUCGAAGCCGUCGUCGGCCCAGUCGGCGCCGCUGCUCCAGACGAGGGAAUAGUCAACGGGCGCUCGCAGGGGCGGCUGAUCGGCGGCUGCUCCGGUCUGAGCAUCGGCUGGCUUGCUGGAGUUGACUUCUCUAGCCACCAGGACAAAUCCAUGCAGAGGCCGAUGAUUCGGCUGCCCGUAGUGGCCCAGGCAGAAGAACCCGGCGGGGAUCUCAACGGGCUUAUAAAAAGUGGCACCUUUGCUCUCCUCCUUCAACAGGCUACAACUCCAGACGCUCUGAAACUCUGUGAUCUGCAGAACCUCCAGCUCUCCGAUGCAUAUUAUGUUCUUGGCAAAGCCUCCACCUGGAAGGGAUCAUCGAUCACCACGUUUUUAGUACUUUUCUGCAGCACAUGCCCGCGACAAUCGCCAUCUCCAAGCAUUAAUCUCAGAACCUAUGAACAGAUUCUAUGCCGGAGAUAGAUAAAAAGAAAAGUCCCAACAGAGUUUAUACUUGCGGCAGGUCAACCCUGCGCCAAGAACAUCGGAAGAGACUCCAACCAGUUGACUUGCAGUAAUUCUUCGUCUUUCCCUCAAGAACAAGGGUAAGACGUUCUCAGAAAGUAAAAGCCUCUGACAGUGCAUAAUGCUAGCGGAGCUAACGAUCCGCCGGAGGGCGUCGACUAAUGAUAUGAUUGAUCAACGAUUUUGCAGCCUGAGAAAAAGAUGGGCAGCGCAUCCCAUCCGUUAGGGAAAAAAUCUUGUGAAAGCUAUGAUCGCGGAAUUGCAGAGGACGGGCCCAGAUUGGAGGCAGUGGCCGAUUAAAAUCUUGAGCUAAAAUAAAAAAAAAUCAGUGAUCUUCGGAGCCCAGAUGGAAGAUCCGGAGAGCAUUUCUGCAUGAAAGGAUAGGCUCUGUUCUUCGUCAGGAAAUCAGUCAGCUCAGAAUCUGCAGAAAGAUAGCAUCACAGAGGAGGAGGCAAAAAAAAUAAACAAGAUGAACCAGACGCAACCAAACCCGAGCAUCUUGGAAGCAUGAAUUACCCAAACGACUCCCAUGGAUCAAUGAGCGUCGCAGGCAAUGGCUCAUUGGGCGUCCCAUCGACCAUCCAGAAACCCAACGCGGGAUCCGAACUGCUUUGGCGAUCUACGUAUGCCGGGGUGAGAUGAGGAAGAGGGAAGGAAACAUAGGGAUUUAUGGAUGUGAUGAUCGGAUGCAUGAACUCGAGCAUGGGAACGCGACCGAUUUCAAAAAUCCUCGCGCGAAAUUUUUGGUUUCUCUCGGAGAGGAACCUGCUGAACGGAAUUGACGAAUAACCAAAAGUAGAGAGAAGAUGAAACACGACAGAUGACCAAUACGAACAAUGGAUAUGAAAUUUAUCAGAAUCCUGAUAGAGGCGCCAGCAGGUGGAGAAUUGCCACGAAUACGAUGAUCGGCACCGGGGCAUCGAAACCAUGCGAUUUCGCGGCGAGAAAGCUUAGAAGCUGCACCUUGGGGCCACGCAGGGAGGGGCGAGGGAAGCGAAAAGGGCUCCGGCUCGUAGGAGACGAACUGGGGCGUGCCCCUGCUCCAACAGAAACAGCUCCAAUCCGCCAUCCUCUCCCCCCUCCUCUCCUCCUGCUUCGGGACAGUCCCCGGGAACUCUGCCCCGGGGUUCGACCCCGUCAAAUACUUCCUCGGUCCUGAAGAACGGUUGGAUUCCGAGGCCUCCACGCUAAACUCCAUGGAAGAAGAUGGCGGUGUCAGACGGUGACGUUGAGAGAGACGCAGCAGCCAUGAGCUUUCCUCCUCCCCGGAAGGGACUGCUUGAUUGGGGCCACUGCGAGGGUUCCAAUGACCAGCCGGUUUAUUACCAUGGACGCCGGUGGGACUCGAUGGAGACCCCAGAUUCUCUCUCUCUCUCUCUCNNNNNNNNNNNNNNNNNNNNACUCUCUCUCUCUCGUAUCUCUCCUCCUCCUCUCUCUCUACCUCCUCUCUCCAAUCUCUCUCUCUCUCUCUCUCUCUCUCUCUCUCGUUGUGCGUCUGUCGAAGAUUGCGUUGGAGAGAAGAAAAGGCGGGUAAAUUUGUGGGGAGGCGAGGGGAGUAGACUUUUCUAUGAUAAGCUCGCGGCACAUUUUAACAUCGUCACCUCCGAGAAUCCCGUGGCUCUGGUUCCCUGGGAAUCCGUGGUAACCUGGAAGCUCAGAUGUUCCCGAGGAGCACCAGAACAUCGAGCGUACGGACUUGCACCGGGUCCGUCUUUUGUUGGGACGCGAAUGGGCUUUUCUGGACUCCCCCCCCCCUCUAAAGGAAAACUCAUGAUUUCCCAAAUUAUUAAGAAAUUAAAUAAUACCAAAUUAUCAGCAUAAUAAUAUUUUAAAUGGAAUAUUAUUCGGAAUAUUAUCCCCCCUGCAUAUUUUAUUCCCCCACUGUCCCUUUCGAAACCGCCAAAUUGAUGUCAAAAUGUCCAUCCGCCGUCCAAGCCCAAUCCAACGGAUGAGAUUUGGCUCGGGGGCGCAUACAACUGGGAUGGGGAGUGCGAAUCAAUUAUUUCAUGUUUUUCACGAUUAUUAAUUUAUUAAAUUCACUAAUUGUGUGUGAUAUGUUCUUAUACACAAAAUAAAAUUAUUACAAUAAAUAAUGUCCCGAUGCUGAGUGGAGACGCGGAAGAAUCUCGUUUUUUUCUCCAUUUUCCAUGACAAAAAAGUUUAAUUAGAAUAUGGUUCGGUGAAUGCCUACUCUCCACGUGGAGGGACAGCCACCAUCAGAUUGGUCAAUGCGCCGGCGGGCGGCUACCGUUGGAGGGCCCUUCCGGGGACGUGGACACAAAGGGCAGCGGGCCGGGUCAGAAACACUCGUCAACGGGCCGACUCCUGGGUAUCACACGGAGCCCGAAAACCGGCCCAAGACCGAGAAAAAUACAUGGGAAACCGACUGUAUAAUAAACUUUGUAUAAAAAGCCCCAAGCCCAUAUCGUCCACGCCACGUGUGAGAGGGUGUCUCUAAGGUCAAAUGAGGGCCGGGCUUCGGGCUUCGGGCUUGGACGUAUGCCGGGACGUAUUUCAUUGGCUGAUGACUGGGUCCAGCGGAUAAGAGGAUGCGACGAGAAACUGCCACGUCGCUUUCCAGAUCGUGGAACCACGCUCACAGACGCUUGAAGGAGACGUGUCCCCGGCAGCCUUUUGGUCAGCGUCUUCUUUGACACGUCUCCCGGGUCGGCCUGGUUCAUUAGUUGCCCAUUGACCUCACAAAACACGAUAUUUUAGUUUAUCAGCCCGAAUUUAACACGUGUGAGAAUCCGACAGAGACAAGGGGUUUUUCGCAAAUAUCUACAGAUCUCCAAACAACACUAAUAGCGGAAGGACCAAAGCCAAUGAAAAACAAACGGUGGGGGUGUAACAGUAAUAGAUAGAUUCUAGAGGGAGCUGAAAGUAAUAUAAUAGCCGCCUUCUAAGAACCCAAUUGGGUAGGCGUAGGACCAUUAAGAGAGCCCAGACUGCAUUUGGAAGCCCAUUACUCCAACCGAAGAUGGGCCUGGGCUGGGCCCAUUAACACGCAAAUUCCGAAGAUGACGAACUAAGCCAGGUGGAAGUACAUGAUGUUAACGGCCGUACCAUGAAGCAGGUCCUCCUGGCCGGAGCUCGACGAGAACCAGGAGCUGAUGAUGCCGCCGCCGGAGAACACGCCGUUGACCAGGCGGUCAACCAGUCUGAAGCCGCUCCGAGACGCGGCUUCGAGGAUGGAAUCUUCGCUGACCCGCCUCUGGACGUGGCACAGGAUGAGGGCCGCCGGUCUGACUUCUGCUCCGCUUCCUCGGCCGCCGCCGCCGCCGCCGGAGAUCAUUUUCCUGGCGGUCUCAAAUAACGGGGAGAUGGCCUCUGCGACGUAGGUCACGUCGGUGCCAAUGACGACGUCGAAACCGCCGCCGCUCACCUCCGCCAUGUCCUCAUCGCUCCCCCAGACCAAUUUCUUGACGAUCAUCUUCUCGAGCAGGAUCGGCGGCAGAUUCGCCGUCAGAUUUUCCUUCAGGAGGAGGAGGGAUUUGGGGUCGCCGUCGGUGGCGACGACGAGCUCGGCGAACGGGGCGGCGGCCAUGGAGCAGAGCCCCGCCGAUCCGCAGCCCAGCUCCAGCACUCUCUUCUGGGAGACGAUGGAUGGGUUCUCCGCCAGGAUCUUGCUCAUGAGGCGGGCGGAUUCCCACAGCAACAGGCCGGUUGAUCUGCAGGUGUGCUGGAAUUCCUUGGCCAGCCCCUUUAUUCUCAGAGUUCGGUCGCCCAGCUCGAUGAUCUCAGUCGCCUGCGGUCAUCCACCCAGGAAGAUUCACUGAACUGGUUUCUCCGAGUGUUCUUUUUUUUCCUAGCCCGAUCGAAAUCAAGCGAAGAAUGACAGAGAAAGUGGAGCAGAAGUACCUCACCAGGGGACGGCAAGAGAUCAAACAUGGCCGUAAUUGCAUCCGAGAUAUCUAGAUCAUCUGCAUUUUCUUCCUUCACUCUGCUCUCAUUCUGGAUGGAGCGGUCCUUCUUUUCUUCUUUCAGAAGAGGAGCUUCGUCAGCAAUCGCCAUGAAAACAGCUUGAAUCCAACGCCUGAAAAGAAAGAAACAUAAAUUUGGGUGAAGUGAUAUGUUCCAAAAAUAUUAAAAUAAUUUCUUUUAAAGGAGUUCUUACCGGUUCAUAACCAAUUCCAGAGACCGAUUCUGUAUUUGUCUGUGGCAGAUGUCGAUGUCCAGAGUGCAGAAUCCAUUGUUCACGAACAAACUCGUCAAAAAAUCAGUCGAGAAGUAGAAAGCCCGCUGAAGCAGAGAGAGUUCCUUUCCAAUCAGGACUUUAGAAAAUAGAAAAAAAUCCGCAGCCGAAGAUCGAGCACGCUAGCAUUGCUUACAGUGCCGUCACCCCUGACGUAGAAGUUAUCACUGAUCUGCUGCUCCUUGCAUGUGAGCCUUUCCUGAGACCAAGCACCCACAGUUCAGGGUCAAACUCAGAGGCAAGAUGGAGACAUGAACGAGAAAACUACCCACGAUUGAUCGGUAAAAAAACAAAAAGAGCUCGAUAAGAAGCAUUAUAGGUAAGCUGGCCAGUGAUUAAUGACUGAGUUUCGGAGAAAAAGUCAGUUAUUUAUUCGAGUGAAAGAAUGAGACCCAAUGAGCAGUUUUCCCACAAUAUCAAUGCCACCAUCCAAAAUGAAAAUAAUAUGGAAAUAUGUAGCAGAGCUUAAAUGGCUAAUCCUCGUGAUAAUCACCAAUUUCAGAAACCAUUAUUAGAACAUUAAGAAAUGUUUGGGUCGAUAUAAGUCAUAGGUGAUUCUGGCCAACCUGAGCCAGGUCCCCAGUCGCGUAGUCCCUCAGCAGCACACGGCCAUUUGGCUGAAAAAUUAAAGAAAUUAAAGGGGGGGUUAGAAUAUUAUUCAAGCUUAGCAUGUAGGAGGCAGUCUCAAGGAAAGUUAACAUAUAUGGCAAGACUUACUUUGAGGACUUUCCUGAUAUUCUGCACUACGAAGGGCAUCUUCUCAGGGGACACUGCAGAUAACAUAAAAACCUACUUAAUAUGUCAGAUAUUGACCGGGCGGCAGUAUCUCCAAUAAAAGGCAGCGUGCUAAAGAUGAAACUCGGGCUCUGAAACCCCAAUAGGACGAAUUUUGAAUGAUUUGAGAGCGGGGAGUUGGCUGAGCGUACCAAUGUCACGACAUCGACUGAUGAAGGCAGUAUCUUCUCACUUAGAUCAUCCACCGUAAGGUCACAAACAAAGGCAUUUACUCGGUCGUCUCUGAAGUCCUUGUGAGCCUGGUGCAUGAAAAUUGACGCGCAAAAGAAAGAGAUGAGUAGCAGUUCUUGAUCAGUGUUCACAGAAUUCCUUGAUAACCAUGAAAUUUUUUAAUGGAUUUAUGCCGUUGAGGAUAUCCUUUUCUGUAAAAACUUGAAUCUGGGUUUUAGCAAAAAGUAUUAAGAAUGAUAUUAACAGCUCAAUAACACCCCUCUCCUUUGGAUCUUAUAAGAUAAAAGAUUCUCCAUCUGCGCGCAGUCAUCCCCCGCCAUGAAUUGAAGCAGUAGAAGAAAAAAGGUAACUCCAAUGCAUGCACUCUAAAGACCAAAAAAUGGAAAAUAAAUCAUGAACGCUACCAUGGUCACCAUCACAGGACAUCAUUGCAGAAAAUUCUUCUCACAUUCCAUCAUGAAAACAUUUUAUGGUGCAAAUAAAAUGUUAACAGCAUUGUUUUAGUCAGAUAGUUUUAGGGGCAUUAACAUAGAACCACAGUGCUAGUAUAAAGAUAUUCGAACCUUCACUAGGUCAAUGGCACGUUCCGAAAAAUCACAUCCGUGGACAAAGAUAUCUGGAAAUGAGGACAACAGAGGGAAAAUCGUGUUUCCUGCUCCACAGCCAACCUGAAACAAACAGAAAGCACUGAUAAUAUAAAAUUGAAAAAAAUACCAGAAAAAGGGGUUUCUUUAAUAGCUCGAGCUUUACAGACGAGGGGAGGAAAAAAAAAUCAAGCAACCACUAGAACAGAAGGGGUGACGACGGUUCCAGAAAAGGGCUGCCGUAGAAAAAAACAUGGAUAAGGAAAUAUGCAGGAAAAUCACUAUGAAAAGUUACAGAAGGCCCUCGAAAAAAAACUAUGCAGGAAAUAUGAGGUAACUAGUAAUAAGCGUCGGCAAAGAUAAGGAAUAUAAGUUAUCCAGGAGAUCUUUUGAGGGAAAAAUAUGUAAUCAACGAGACAGCCAGAGACCUAUUACCUCCAACACGACUGGUUUUUUGCCCUCUUGACCCUGCAGAUGAGAGGAAAAACAGUCUGUGCGUGAAAAUUAGGUUGACAUAUAACAGGAACACUGCAUGCGUGAUAGACAAAGAAGAUAAAUCGAAGAAGAUAAUGGAAAAUAACGUCGUUACGCUGAAAUGGCGGCCCCAUUCCUUGUACAGGUAGUGCCGAUCCUUGAAGAACUGCCUCCAUCAAAAUCCGAAACAGCGUCACAGCAGCCACAUGUUAACUAACGCCGGGACAAGUUGCGAGCAUGAGAAACGACGACGAACCUUGUCCUGGUGGCGCUUGUAGAAUUUAUCCCAGUACUUUCUGGCGUCCCUCUCGUACUUGUCUGCGCCAACCAGAACAGAGUCAGCAGAGGGAAAAUCAAUGAAAAAGGAAGCGCGGACGGCUCUGGCACUGGAGAGCGUCGACGACCUCUCCAGUAGGGGCUGACUUCUCUGCCGGAGCUGGCGGCCGCCGACGCGUAAAUCUGUAUCUUCUUCUCCUCCCGCGCCGCCGCCAUCGCCGCCGGGUACGAGACCUUGGGAAUUUGCUCCCACCCCAGGCCCUUCAUCAUUGUUAAACGCAGUGAUGGGUCGUCGUAGUGUAAUUUUAUGGACGACAGGCACCCAAUAGAGGCCCACUAAAAACAGGCCCAUAAUUAACGGCCCGUCAAAAUAGCCCAAUAAUGUCGUUAAGUUUGCGACCCACCAGGGGGCCCAGACUGAUCCCCCAGGCUUUCCAACGGGCCAGGCCAAAAUCACAUGAAGUCUGAUGAUGGUGCCCAGAAAAUACAAUCAACAGAAGAAAAAAAUAUUUUUCACCCAGUUGGUCAAUAAAAAAUAUUUAGAGGCGUUUUAAUGCCCGAGUCAUCAUUUUCGCACUUAACUGUAGAAGAAGUACUUUUUGAACGAAUUCAAGUACAUCGGAUGAUCAAGAAGAAUCAAGACACCUUUCAGCUUAUUCAGCUCACUUUGAAUAGAGAAAAGGCUUGAAGAUACGAUUUGGCCCAACUUCUAUUGGAGAGAAUCUAAUGAUAAAUUUUAACACAUUUAACACGUUUCAAUAUCUCAUUCUCGAUUUUUUCAUUUCUUAAAUUUUGUUUGUUAAAAUGAAACAAUAUCCUUAACACUUUAGUAGGCUAUAUAAACACCUACUGUUUAUAUUUUUUUGAAAAAAUACGUAUUAUUUACGUCAAUUAUAAUGGAAUAUAUAUUUUAACAUACUGCUCUUAUUUUAUGGGGUUUUCUAAUAUUUAUUGUUUUAAUAAAUUUUAACAUAUUUCGUAUAUUCUAACUUAGUUCUAACUUAAAAUGGUCUUUUGUAUCUCAAAUGGUGAGUUUUAAUACCAUUGAAUCAAUUUCAAAUUUCAUUCCUCUCUAUCUAUGUUGGUGAAUCCCAUCUUCCUCAAUGGAUUCAAGAGACCUUUUUGAUAUUUGUAGACUUGUGAUCAACUCCUUUUAAACUAAUGGGGCAACAAUUAACUCACUAGUGAACAUAUAGUGAAUAAUUUUCAUAUAUGUCACAUUUUUUAGGCUCAAUAAUGAAAAUUCUAUUUAUCUCAAUUAAAGUAGUCAAAUCAUGACCAAAUUAAGAUUUACGCUGCAUUUUAUGUGUAUGCUUAUUGGAAGUUGUGGGAGAUAAGAUGGGAGGCAUAGAGUAGGCGACACAUAAAUCUAGUAACCAGCCAAAUUCUUGUUGGCUAUUGGACCAACAACUCAUUUGAAGCUUUAACCUGAUCAAUAAAAUAAUUGGGACAACCAUAACCUAUCCCUUUUGGUGAUAUUUUCUCCAUUUGAUUAAAUUCUAAAUAUAUCUACUACUAUACUUGGGAUAUAUAUAUACUUAAAUACAUAUGUAUAUAUAUAUAGGCUAACAUUAUCAUAAUUGGUAACUUUUAUUAUAGUAAUUUCCAUAACAACACCCAUUAAUCAAGGUUAUAUUUUUUUAAUCACAUUGUCUCUUAGAUAUAUGAAAAAUGGGUCUCCUCUCACUGAUCAUUAUGUCUUCUUGAUCAACUUUAUUUCCUCAAAUCGCUUUGAGCCUUUUCUAGCAAGAUGUAUAAUGUUCUUAAAUGUUUUUAUAACUGUGGAGAUCUAUUUUCAUGGAAACAUUCCAAGGAUACAAAAUGCAGCUUACAUUUUUAUAAAUUUAUUUGACUUUUUCUUCAUUAUAUGGAUGCGUUUUACUUCUUUUGUUAAACUCUUGGGGGUUUCAUUCUUACAUUUAAGAGACAAAAAUCAUCUUUACCAAUAUUUUUAAAAUACUAAUUGCAUAUUUGUAAAUAUUUGUCACAAAUAACUUAGUGGAGGAGAGACCAAAAAAGAGGUAAAAAAAGUGGAGGGCGUUUUCUAUAUUUGUGGAGCCAACGAGAUAAAAUAGCACUAUAAAGUAGACACGUUGCGAAUGACCGUUGGGAAGUCAACGUUGGGCGCGAGGCGAAGGAUUAAGUGGAGACGCGCUCGCAACCUACGAAGGCACGCGCCGGAUCUUCUUCUUCAAGGAUAUAAUUGGGCCCCACUGGAUUGCCUUCGUAGGAGGGAGAGAGAGAGAGAGUGAGAGAGAGGAGAUUCCGAGGAAGGCCUUUUUGAAUCUUUCAUAAUGGCGAGACGAGGAGGAGCUCAUAGCUUGCAAUAAAUCCUCGCAGGAGAUCUCGUGAAGGAUUGCUGGUGUCUCCCGGCUCCCUUCCUUCCUCCUCUCGAAGGAAGAGCUCCUCUCUCUCUCUCUCUCUCUCUCUUUCUCUCUCUCUGUGGACGUCUGAAGCUCCGGCGACACACCUAUCCCCGUGAAGGAGAGCUCUCCGAUGAUCACGAGUUUCAUCUCCCCAGUAGCAAUGUCCCUACAGGCGCGCCGCCGGCUUCAAAUACUCCCUGCGGCAAGCGGCCAGAGGAGAGCAUCCAGCAGAAGAAGAUCGCUCCACGGAUGGGAAACUUUCAGCACCACCGCCGCCGCUGCCUCCUCCUCCUCUGCUUCUGCUGCACGUCAUGGUUUCUGCCGCUGGAGGCUACGGAGCUCCGGACCUACAUCGUCCACCUUCACCACACGGCCGCCCCUCCGGCGAGCCCCCUCGAAAGCAAGCUCGAAUGGCACCUCUCCUUCCUCCGGCAAACGACGACUGCAUUGGAGGAGGAGGAGGAGGGCCCCUCGGGGCGACUCGUCUACUCCUACCGAUCCGCCGUCAACGGCUUCGCCGCCCGUCUCUCUGCAGAGGAAGUUGACGCUCUGCGGCGCAACGCCGGCGUCGCCGCCGUCCACCCCGACCGCCGGCUCGAGCUGCACACCACCUACUCGCACCAGUUCCUGGGGCUGGGUUUCUCCCCCGGCGGCGCCUGGGCCAACGCCGGGUACGGGAAGGGGGCCAUCGUCGGCGUCCUCGACACCGGGGUCUGGCCGGAAAGCCCGAGUUUCCACGACCGGGGUAUGCCCCCCGUGCCGAGGAGGUGGAGAGGGAUCUGCCAAGAGGGGCAAAGCUUCAACUCCUCCGCCUGCAAUCGCAAGCUCAUCGGCGCGCGCUUCUACGGCAAGGGGCACAGGUCGUCGACCUCCGAGCCGGGGCUGUCCCACGUCGUGGAGUACGUCUCCCCGCGCGACGCCCACGGGCACGGGACACACACGUCCUCCACGGCGGCGGGCGCCGUGGUGGAGGGUGCCAGUGUGCUCGGCGUGGGCGCCGGCGUCGCCGCUGGGAUGGCCCCGGGGGCCCAUGUGGCCGUCUAUAAAGUCUGCUGGUUCAACGGGUGCUACAGCUCCGACAUCCUCGCCGGGAUCGACGACGCCAUCAGGGACGGCGUCGACGUGCUCUCCCUCUCCCUGGGGGGCUUCCCGCUCCCGCUCUUCGAGGACAACAUCGCCAUCGGCGCCUUCCGCGCCGUGGAGAAGGGGGUGGUGGUGAUCUGCGCGGCGGGGAACAACGGGCCGGCGCCGGGCUCCGUCGCCAACGAGGCCCCCUGGAUCGUCACCGUCGGCGCGAGCACCAUGGACCGGCGGUUCCCUGCCUUCGUCCGCAUGGGCAACGGGCAGCUGCUGUACGGCGAGUCCCUCUACCCCGGUAACCACUUCGGGAACAUCCCCGGCAGGGAGAUGGAGCUGGUCUACGAGGCCGGCGGGAAUGGCGGAGGCGAGUUCUGCUUCAGGGGGUCUCUGCCCAGGACCAGGGUCGGCGGGAAGAUGGUUGUCUGCGACCGCGGGGUCAACGGCCGGGCGGAGAAGGGAGGCGUUGUGAGGGAAGCCGGAGGGGCGGGGAUGAUCCUGGCUAACCAGGAGAUCAACCAAGAGGAGGACUCGGUUGACGUCCACGUCCUGCCGACCGCCAUGGUCGGCUACAACGAGUCCCUCCGUCUGAAGAGCUACAUGAAAUCGACGGCGCGGCCGGUGGCCCAGAUCGAGUUUGGCGGGACGACGGUCCGGCGAGCCAGGGGGCCGGCGGUGGCGCUGUUCUCCUCCAGGGGGCCGAGCCUCACCGACCGCUCCGUCAUCAAGCCCGACCUGGUCGCUCCGGGGGUGAACAUCAUCGCCGCAUGGCCGCAGAACCUGGGACCCUCGGGGCUGCCGGAGGAUGACAGAAGAGUCAACUUCAGCAUCCUCUCCGGCACCUCCAUGGCCUGCCCACACGUCAGCGGAAUCGCCGCCCUGGUUCGCGCCGCCCACCCCUCGUGGAGCCCCGCCGCCGUCAAGUCCGCCAUAAUGACCUCCGCCGACGUGUUCGAUCACUACGGGAAGCCCAUCAUGGACGGGGCGAGCCCCGCCGGAGUCUUCGCCGUCGGCGCCGGCCACAUCAACCCAGCGAGGGCCAUGGACCCCGGCCUGGUCUACGACAUCAGACCAGAAGACUACGUCGUGCAUCUCUGUACUCUGGGGUACACCGGCUCCGAGAUCUUCACCGUCACGCACAGGAACACCAGCUGCAGGGAGAUGCUGGCGAGAAACAGGUACUUCAGCCUCAACUAUCCCUCUGUUUCAGUCGUCUUCAAGAAGGCGGAGACGAGGAAGAUGAUCCAGCGGCGAGUGACCAACGUGGGUCCGCCCAACUCGACGUACAUCGUGCGAGUGGCGGCGAUGGAGGGGGUCAGCAUCAGGGUCACCCCGCCGGUCCUCACCUUCAACGCCGCCCACCAGAGCAAGAGCUACAGGGUGUGGUUCCAGUCGAAGAAGAGGGCGGUGAAGGGGAAGACGCGCUCCGAGGAAGGGGACCUGACGUGGGUCAGCAGCCGCCACCCGCGCCACAGAGUGAGGAGCCCCAUUGCAGUCACCUGGGCAGGGUAGAGAAUGGCAGCCGGCGGCGACAGUAAAUAAACUCUCCUCAUGAUUGGUAUACAGAGAGAUUUGAAGCUCUCAAAUUUCCCUAACAAGUAGGUCUUUCCUUUUUCCCCCAAAUAAACCUUCGAUUAUUGGAUGAACAAGGGAGAACUCCUUGCUUUGAUUCACAGCAGUAUGUAGCAGCAGGUUGCAGUCAUCGGAGAAGCCUUCGUCACUGUGUGUUCUUCCUUCUUGACUGUUCCCAAACUUUCUCAUAAGAUAGAAUCACGAGAUACAAAAAUGAGGAAGAAUAUGUGGUACGAGUGAUUCAGAAACAUGCAAAAAUUUUCGAGAGAAGAGAGUUAGAACAGGGGGCAUGGAGGAGGAAGGGGGGGGGGGUUAUGUACAGGUCGUGGCUUAUUUCUUGACGAACUGCAGGCCAUUGGCAUCGGAGUACCUCUCCAUGAACCGCAUGAACCUGUCCCACUCUCCGGGGGUGCGCAUGAUGUACUUGGCCUCGAUUCUCGCCGGCCUUCCGUUGACGAACUUGGCGCUGACGUCUACAGACUGAAGGACGCCUUCCUCGUCGAUCAUGUAGAAGCCGGUGAUGUCGCCGAGCUCGCCGGAGGAGUCGAACAGCGAGGGCUGUUCGAACACGAAGGUCGCCACGCCGUUGGUGCCGUCGCGGGACUUGGUCAGCCUCACGUCCGGCACGGUCUGCUCGUCGGUCCCCUGGAUAAAUUGGAUCGCCGGCCUGACCGCCAUUCUAAUCGCCCGCGAUAUCUGCCGGCCUGAUCUCACUUGGGUGAGCUUCAGUUUACGGAACUUCAGGGAGGCGCCAUUGAAGGAGGAGCUGGCGCUCUGAAUAGCUCCCGUCGGAAAAGCCGCCGUCGAACCUGAAAGGAGGGAGUUCAAUACUGAUAUCCUCCUGCGGAGGUUCAGGAAGGGAAACUCAAGAUUUGUUCGACAGAUGCCGAAAACGAUCCCCAGGAAGGGAAACCAUAGGUCGCCGAGAAACAAUUGAGUUCAUGACAUCUUCCAGAGCUAAUAUUUCUUCAUGGAAAUUAUGAGAACGCAGGAGGAAUCUAUUGACUUCAUCUUGCGAUCGUUCCGGAAAUAUUGAGUCCGGGAAGAACAAAAUGCAGAGUAUAAAACCUAGAAACGGGGGGAAGCCAUUCCCAACCUGUUUCGCUGUAGAACUCAAAAAUUCUCAUCGAUUAUAACACAAAAUAAAAAUGCAGGAAUUCCUUAACCCGAAUAAGUGUAAACUAUACGUGGAUAAGCCCCCGAUUGAAAACCUGGAGAGAAUAAAUCGACAGAUUGCCUGCGAUGGAGCAGAAAUCUCCCGCUCGACAGAAAAAUUUACAGGCCGGAGGCUCCCACGCUGGUUCGGACUCGGCAACUCCACAUUGAGGUUCCAGAAUGGAGCAAGUUUAGGACGGGAGAAGACCACCUAGAAGAGAACGAUGCUGCCGCGGGGAAUGGAAGGCGGCGGAGGAAAGCGCAAGCGACUGCAGCGUCGCCAUUCUGAAGAGCGGGCGGGGGAGAGGAGAGGAGCUGCGCGCCGGAAUGAGGGGGGGGCGCAGUCUGAGGAGAGAACUAGAGAAUGGCGAGAGGUAGAGGCCAGAAGAAAACCUAGCAGAAAGAGAGACAGAACGUUAGAGAGAGGAGAGAGAGAGAGAGAGAGAGAGAGAGAGAGAAGAAAAUGGGUGAAGAUGGGGAGGAGAGGUGUGUCCGAAUCAGAACCAUUCGGAAAGGAUUGGUCUGGGGAUUCCCCGGGGUAUGUUACGCGACACCGUGUACACGCCUGAUGUCAAAUUAUGGAAGUAAUACGGCUUUCCUGAAACUGUCGGAAAAUUGUGGGUCCAUUCGCAUACCAGUCACAUCCAUACACGAAUCCGACCGUCCUUCGUCCCUAUCGGGGUCAAUGGAUUGACUUAAAUCGGGUUUCAGAAGCACUACUCGACGGGCACAUCAACAGGGGUACUUUACGAAAUAAUUAAAGUAAAGUACCAAUUAAAAGCCGGUUAUGAGUGCUUUGGUUUACUUUCUAGUCGCGGUAUCUGGUUUUAAGCGGAGAGAAGGGCCGCCGCAGCCAAUCCCCACUGCCAGAAAGAUACCGACGAUCCCCGGAGGGUGGCUCCGCCUCCCGUCGUCCUCUUCCCCGCAGAUCUGGGCAGAGAUCGGGGGAAGGCAGGGGGACGGUUCCAGAUAGCAUGGCGUCCUACGUGUAUCUGUCCGCUUCCCCUCUCUGCGAGCUCGGUGACCCCGCGGCAGCGUGGAAAAGCCGCCGCAGUGGCGCUCUGAAGCGGGAGAAGGAGAGAUGGAAGAUGAAGGCGUCGACGCGUUGAUUGACUAGCUGGCUGCUGGGCCGUGUAGGCAAGUCGGAUACUUUGGCUGGUUCCCCAUCCCCCCACUGCUUCUUCGUCUCCUCCCUCUCCAAGAAUCUUGGCGGCUCCUCGUCUUCUGUUCCCGUGUACUCCUCGGGCUCGUCCCCCUGUUUGGUCGCGAAUCCUUCACCUGUUCUGAUUUGAGCGGACAUCCACAGCCCGUGGUUGUCCUCUCCGUAGUCGUGCUUCUCUCUCUUUCUCUCCGUGCUGGUCGUUCUCUUGCAUGGCCGUCUGAUCCGGGAGACGCAGGAGCCGGCAUGGCCGGAUGAAGCCGAAGCCCUGGGUUUUGGGACCCUCUGCCUUCACACGCCGGCUGUGGUCGCCAUGGAAGCCGCCAUCUACCUCCCGAGUUCCCUCAAAGGGCCUCCGCAGGAAGUCUGAGCUCCAUCCUCCGCUUACUGCUACAGCAGGAGCCGCAGCCCGCCGGCGGAUGACGACGACGGGGAAGAUGGGUUAAGAGCAAGCAAGCACGGCCGCUGGGCCGCCGGCGGAAGGGUCAAAACCGCAAAUAACUCGGCGGGCGUCCCGGUGGUGGCGAGCGUCGUUCAUGUCGCGGAACAGGGCUUCCCACCGAGGAGCGCUCCACCUUCGCUAGCCGACAAGCCAUUUGUCGGCACCAUGGGCCCCAGAGAAAAGCUCUUUAUGGGCCGCAUCUAUUUGGGCUAACAUUAUAUGGGCCGGCUAUUGGGCUUGGAUGAGAUGGGCACCAGGGGCGCCGCGGGGGGGUAUCGACGUGGACUCAGCAACGCACGGUCCAGCGUGGCGUCUCCGUCGGAUGUCUUUGCGAUAAACCCUCGCUUUCAGCUUUUUCACAGUUAGACCCUCGCCAUCCACCUCGUCGGCUUUUGGGGGCCCGUCCAUCUCGGGAGUGGCGCUUGUGGGGCCCACCACUCCCCUAAAGGGGCCAAAGCGUAUGAGUAAACUCAUUGUGGCCAUGGCCAACUACUCAUCGAACAAAUCCCAGCCCUCCACGCACCAACCGGGUGACGGCAACACUGGAACAGAAGAGCGGGCCCCACGGGGCUCGGGGCCCUAUCGCCUCCAUCGGUGCCGUCUGUCCAGUGGACUCCAAGUAAUAGUCCAACUAUUAGACGAUCAGAUUUAUCCGGGCCCCAGCAGCGUCUGGGCAUGGGAGGCAAGGGAAUAGUUUAAUAUACAGAUAGAGCUGGCGGAAUACCGUACCGGCACAGGUGUAUGUGGUAAGAUUGGUGAAUUAGAUAAACUCCGGGGGUAUUUACGGUCAGUAUUAUCUUUUCUCAGGAAGCCUCUCCCUCUCUCUCGACUCUUCUCUGCCCACGAUGAAGGGAAAGCGCGAAGAGUGAAAGAGCAGUGGCAUAUUUCGUAAAUUAGGGGAGUAAAAGUGGUGAUUUGAAACUCCAACGACCGGCGGAUGUGCCACCUUCUGGGUUCUGCUCCGUCGAUCUAGCGAUCCUCGAGCGUCCUCUCCAGAGUUUAACCACCACCUUCGGCUUCCAGUCUGCCACGGCGUCUCCGCCUCGCCGGAGUUUCCUCCGCCACUUUGUCGCCGUCGUGUUCCUGAAUUGAGCGGAAUCUCCGUCGGAAGCAUUCAGAUCCGAGACAUUGUCCCGGAUCGGGGAGAGUGACUCUAACCCUAAGGCGAGGAGACUGUGAUAUUUCCGCCGUCUCCGUCGCCACCGCCGUCGAAAUGGAGGCGGCGCUGGAGAUGGCGCGGUCCAAGGACACGAAAGAGAGAAUGGCCGGUGUGGAGCGCCUCCAUGAGCUACUGGAGGCCUCCCGUAAGAGCCUCUCCGCUGCCGACGUCACCGCUCUAGUCGAUUGCUGCUUGGAUCUCCUCAAGGACAACAAUUUCAGGGUCUCACAGGGUGGCCUCCAGGCGCUUUCGUCGGCUGCCGUCCUCUCAGGGGAGCACCUUAAGCUACAUUUCAAUGGUUUGGUCCCGGCUGUUGUGGAGCGGUUAGGGGACGGGAAGCAGCCAGUCAGGGACGCCGCUCGGCAGCUUCUGAUAACUCUUAUGGAGGUUGAUCCCUUUGAGCUCGCUUUCGUUUCCUGAUUUGACUUCUUCGAGAUGAUUCCUCAUGUUUUUAUGAGAAUGAGGACGAUGCACUCUAUGUUGUAGUUAUUUUCAAUUUUCCCCGCAAUAUUUUAGAUCUCUGUUUUUUCUUGUGGAACGAAUAGUCCAAUUCUAUUUAUGCGUAACAGGAUGAUCGGACUUGGGGGUUAUAACUGGCGAUUAAGUUUUUUAAUUCUUGGUUCCGUUUUGCUAUCAUGAGGUGAAUGGUUGUCGCACCUUUUUUUGGGGACUUUACGAGAGUGUAAAAAGCAGGAAGUUUCCUCUAUCUGAUCGAGCUCCAUUUUUUCUGAAGUUAUUCUGGCUCAAAAUGGUUCGUGAGUGGUUCUUUUAAAAUUCUUUUUUCCUUGUUUCGUCUCCCCAUCCCCUACUUGCUCCAUCCGUCGUUUCUUUUGUGCGUGUGAGAAAUAUUUUUUGUAGUUAUUUAAAUGUGGUAGAUGGUUUCCCCACACUCUGAAAUGCUCUUUUUAUUACGUCUCUUUAAGUUCUAUAUAUUGUCAGUGUUUAUAAAGAAUUUAUAGUGUAGUUUGCACUGUUCCUCCCACAUUCGUGUUCAUGUUUCUCUGCAAUAAAUUCGUACUAAUGCUGCCCCUUUUUUGUUCACCAUUGCGGUGUACAAUAUCGUUCUGCAUUAAAAACUAGAUGCCAUUGUCACAGGGAGCACAAACUAACUGGCUGAUAAUCUUUGUGCUCCUUACCAGUUCUUCUUUUUUGCCUUUCAUUUCAUUCAACGGAGUAUUGUAAUAUAAAUAACAUUUUUUUCAUAGAAUGAUCUUAUAAAAAUCUACAGCUCAGACUCACGAUUUUUAAUGUAAACUAGGUUUCUUCACCGACAAUUAUCGUUGAAAGAGCUGGAAGUUAUGCUUGGAACCACAGAAGUUGGAGGGUUCGAGAAGAGUUUGUGCGUACAGUAACCACGGCAAUUGGCCUUUUUGCUUCUACCGAGCUUACUCUUCAGCGGGUUCUUCUUUCUCCAGUAUGUAUAUUAACUUAGAUUAAAGUUGGUAAAUACCAUAGUUCGUAAUUUUCACUUAUAUACAAAUUAAAUAUUGUUUCUUUUGUCUCUGCCAGGUAUUGCAGUUGUUGAAUGACUCUAACUACAGUGUUCGAGAAGCUGCUACUUCUUGUAUUGAGGUUAGUGUUCUUACUUAUGUAUUAUUAUCAAAAUGUUAACUUAGAUCCUAUAUUUUGUAUCCAUUUAUCUUAAAUUAAUAUUCUUGGGCAUGCAUUUCUUUAUUCUUGGGUAUGCAUUUCUUUUGGAUCCACUUUCUUCAAUUCCAAAUUCGUAAUUCUGUGUCUACUAACUGGAAUUUACUAUACCAUGAAAAUGACGGUUUAUGCAUGUGUUUAUAUAGUGAUAAAUUAAUGGCUAGAUAUAGUCGCAUGAUACCAAACAAAAGUUAUUGGUCAUAUACAAAGGUGUAAUCAUCCCCAAAAAACUUUAGACAGAUGAAUGUCUCCGAAGUUGUUGACAACCACAGACAGUUCCACAAUGAUAAAAUUACUACUUCGGCGGAUAUCACUUUCAGAAGAUCAAAUUAGAAACUUAGAGAAAUGAGAAAUCUCAAUAAAUUAGUAGUUACCCAGACUAGGAAGUAUUAUUUUCAUGAUUUCUGUGAAAGGAACUGGUGAAAUGAAUAGAAUAGCUUCUUGGUAUGAUUCUCAUCAUAGAACUUGAUUGCAAAGUACCGGGAUAUGACUCACAAACUGUUGAUAUUCCCUGAAGUGUGGUUUGCAGAGUUUUUGCUGUGAUGUUCAAUUCCUAACCUCUGUCGCUCUUUCAGAUUUUCUCCUACAGUUCUGACAACUUUGGAUCUAUGUUACACCAAUCAUAUCAGUUCUGUUUCAUAUAUGUAUACACAUUUGUCUGCAAUUAGUCAAAAGUCGUUCGGCAGUCUUGUUAAAUUUAUAACCUUUUUGCUUUCAAUUUCAGGAGAUCUAUAUGCAGAUCGGACCCCAGUUUCAUGAUGAAUUGCAACGACACCAUCUUCCUCCGCUGAUGGUACUGCUAUUGGUCAUGUAACACAUUUGUUAUUGAUGAUUGUUCUUUUCACAGAUAUUAUACAUUGUCAUAAUUGUUGCUAUAGAUGAAAGAGAUCAAUAGCCGAUUGGAGAAGCUUGAGCCAAAAUUACGUCCAACAGAGAGCUCAGGCCAUUUUAUUCCUUCAGAAACGAAAUCUUCCUUACAUAACCACAAAAAGAGCAGCCCAAAGGCCAAAGCGGCUCCACGGGAAACUACUCUUUAUGGUGGUAAGCAUUAUUGCACUCGAAUUUGGGGAGGUCUGAGCUGAAUCAUAAUUUUUUUGAAUGUUGCUCUAACUUAAUCGUCUUAACUUUCAUGGAUGAACACAAAAAUAUACUAAAACAGUUCACGCGGGUCAGUUACUCUCUUUUUGGUUGUACAGCCGUUUAAUUCAUUUAUAAAUAAUUUAUAAAUGAAAUGUUAUCUGAUUGACAGGUUGGCUAUUAUUGUAGGGGUGAAGUGGGAGGGGGGUUGUGUGUUAAAAAGGAUUGUAAAAAGGUUGUUGCUGUUCUAUCAUCUUUUGUGAUUUAGUCCGGUCAUUAUGGGAGUGUACAUAAUUGAAUUAUAAUCAUUUAAUUUACUAGUGAGUGCUGUCUGAAUAGCUCUUGGCAUUUUUUACAUUGAAACUGUGGAGGCGUCUAAACUCUAGUCAUAAGUUAUGGUUAGUGUUUUGAUUUCCUUAAAGUCAUGAUCUUCAUAACAAUAUAUUUUAAGUGAUUAUGCUUCUGUAUGACAUUGGAGUUCUUGUGAGGAACUCAAAAUUUUGCAAAUGUGCUUCCAAUAUAUUGUUGUAUUGGUUGUGGGUGUCUAAUGGACUCAUUCUUCUCAUAAUUGUUGUCGACACAAUUUUUUUGACCUCCCAUAGCAUCCUGCUUUUGUGAUGCACUUUCAUCUUUAUUUUUGUUUUGCAUCACUUUUUUGGCUAAAAUUUUUGUUCUCUUGCUGAGGAAGGUGCUUUGACUCUGUUAUUUCUCUAUCACCUUUAUUUCUGUCCCAUCAUGUUUAUACAGUCCCGUAUGAAUGGAUUCUAUUUGCUUAUCUCCACUUUUCUCUUAAUUCACAUAGUAUGGGAACUAGCAAGAGCUUCAGUUAAUUGUUUAGCUCUAAUCUGCUUUGAUUUGCGAUAGUUAUUGAUUCCAUACUUGUAAUUGGGGACAGAAGACAUCUCUGUAAUCUGAAGGGUCGGAUAUUUUCUUCAUAGUAAUUGUCUGCUUGUUUAACGUGCUGUUAAUUUUUUUAGCUGUUGGUGAAGCUGAUGCUGCUGAAAAUCCAGUGGAGCCCAUUUCAGUGCACACAGAUAGAGAAUUGGUCCGGGAAUUUGAGAAGAUUUCGUCGACUUUAGUUCCAGAAAAGGAUUGGUCAAUCAGAAUAGCUGCAAUGCAGAGAAUUGAAGGGCUUGUUUUAGGAGGUCAGUACUGAAGGUGCUCGCUUUAGAUUUUAUUGCGUUUUUUAUUUGAAAGCAAAAGGAAUGAUACUUAGAUCAUGAUCUUCUGGAAAUCUGUUUGGCCGAUCGUUUUCUGUAUCUCCCUCUCCCUCAAAGCAGUGUGAGUAUUCUGGAAAGAGAUGCUCAUUUGUACGUUAUGCCAUUUGCAUGCUUCGCCAAGGAAAUGCUUGAAAGCAGAUCUCAUUUGUUUUACACUUUAAUUUGUGUGCUAGGAAACCAUGAAAUUAUUGUCUUUUCGUGCACAUUUCCUAGUUUUGAUGUUCAAUUGGACCUAAUGCUAUUCCAUCCCGCUAUCUCUGCUGGAAUUGUGUUUUGGUUUCUCUGAGAAAGUGAUGUCCUACAUUCAUGGGUGACAGAGAGUUUAUUCUUAUUCCAUCAUUAAGGUUCCUUGCUAUCUUAUUUACUAGGGUCUAUUAAACAUCAGACGACUCUUUGUCUUUGUCUUGGAACAGUGGCCCAUUAUUUCUAUUUAAGGGUUUGUGGAAUCGAGAAACAAAAGGGGACUUUAUGCAGAUCAUUGCAAAGCUUACUAUCUCCUUGAGAAAAUGUCAUAACUCAUUUUCAGAAUUGUGAGCCAUUUUCAGUAGGCCUUAUUUUUGUUCAUGCUUCAGUCACUUUUGUGCUUUACUAUUUCAGAAAAGUUCUCAUCAUUUUUUUUUUGAGAUGUUGAUAUUAUUUAAGUUCGCUCGUGUGUUUAUUUCUUCGUUGUUCUAGGCCAAUGUUUGGACUCUUGGUUGAAAGCAUCUUGUAUUUGUAUGAUCAUUCGUGUUCACUUUUACAGAUUUUUUAUUUGUGUUGUUUAAGUACUUUCUGUUGUCAAAUUGUUCGCAAAGUCAGAUAUUCAAUGUUGUGUGGAUAUUCCUAAUACUCUUUUCGUCUUCAGGCGCCACCGAUUUUCCAUCCUUUCCCAUGCUCUUAAAGCAACUUGUCACUCCUCUCAGCUCUCAGCUUAGUGACAGACGUUCUAGCAUCGUAAAACAGGUACAUAAACUUUCUAGAUACCUUUUUUUUUGCUACGAAUAUAAGCAAUAUGAUCCUCCGCCGCGAAUAUGUAACUUAUACUCAAAUCCGUAACUGUGAACUGGGCAUCUGACUGAAUGCAACUUGAGAUGUUCAAGUGUUCUCAUUAUACAGUACAUAUGUUCUUUAUUAGAAAAUGUAGGAGAAACAUUGUUUCUUUCUCUUUCCUUAUUACCAUAAAAAAGGAAAAUUUGUCCUAAGCAAUUAACAAAAGUAAAAUGGUCAUGAUAAAUAAACAAUUUUUUUGGAAUGGUAGCGUUAGGACGCAGCUCUUUAGGGCUUUGCUGUGCUGAUGCUACUUGAAUACUCAAAACUGUAGGGCGAUGGAUAAUUUGAUUUGGUUUAAUUUCGACUAGUAGCUUUUUUGAGUUGAAUUCUAUGUUUCUUGAAUACUCAAACUGUAGAGAAGGAUAAAAUGUUUUUGAGGUGUAAUCUUCCACUUCCCUGUGGGAUUCACAGACUAGUGGAAGAUCACAAGGCGAACAGUGUAGCUAAUGAGAAAGAGCCCUUGACUUUUGAUUUAGGUGCGCUCGUAGAAUAUUCCGGUCUUAUAUAUCCGGUUUAAAUUACUUCAUAACUGGUGGACCAAGAAAUAAAGACAAUUAUGGGAAUGCACAGUUAAUAUCGAUAAACGUGCAGAUUGUUGAUAAUUCAGGGUUUUUACGCAUUAUAAUCUAAAACCUUUUUGAAUUUUAUGAGUUUUAAAGGGACUCAUUCUGCUUCACUGUAGUCAGUCGCUGAUGGGGAUUAACCAUACCCCCCUUCCCUUGGUUUGAGCUAUGGUGUACAACUCCCGUAGAUUAACUGGUCCAAUCCCAGUGAACCAUUUGUUUAUUAUGCGUCUAACCUAAUAAAAAGAUGCCUAACUCGAGGUAUUCUUUGCACAGUACUGGGUGCCUAUUGGGCGCUCUUCAAUGACACUUGGUGAUACUCUUAAUUCACUAAAUAUUUUGAGGAGGGGAAGGAAAUAUGCAGAACUACAUUUCACGUGUAGUAUAAAGGUUGGGUGUUAUGUUUGUUAUCAAGAAUAGUUGUGGAUGCAUGUGGAAAGGUUGAGCAGGUUUCAACUUGAGAGAUAUACCGUUGACUUGUUGGCUUUGUUUUCUGGAAUCCCUUCGGCCCUUCAGACGGAAUAAUCUCAUGGUGUAAAUAUGCGUAGAUGGCUGGAAGUUUUUGCAUGAAUGUCCUCUAUUUUGGUGUGGUCCUUAGGUAGAGUGUCAGAUGUUGGAAAUCCUUACUGUUGUUUUAUCUGUAUUAACGUCCUUGGUGGCAGCUUCUGCCAGUUUCCUGCUAUUAUUAUUUUUUACUUCUUUUUAUAUGAAUCAUUUUGAAAUUAACAUGCUAUGACGUGGAAAAUUUCACUCCAUUGACAUUAGUUUCUUUUUGAAGAGUUCAAUGAGUUAUGGAGCAAUGGUGCUUCAUUGGAUAGAAUAUGGCACCAUUUUGUUGUAUAUUUUAUUUCGUUUUCAGCACUGUUCCUGAAGCUGUCAACAUUCUGUCAAAUGCCAUUUAGCUGACUGUACUUUCAUUUAUUUCAGGCCUGCCAUCUUUUGAACUUCUUGUCAAAAGAACUUUUGGGGGACUUUGAGGCUUGUGCUGAGACGUUAAUACCGGUAAAUUAUUUCAUCUUGUAACUUUCAGUAUGCUGUUCAAUGUUCUUGGUUCCUAAUGGUCCUCGAUUGUUUCAGUUGCUUUUUAAGCUGGUUGUAAUUACAGUUCUUGUGAUCGCUGAGUCUGCUGACAACUGCAUAAAAACGGUUUGAAACAUUAUCCUCGUUUUUUUUCUUUUGACGUGGUUCUACAAGAUCGUGUUAAAAUAAUGUCCGAAUGUUCCAGAUGCUACGUAACUGUAAAGUUGCUCGUGUUCUUCCCCGAAUAGCUGACUGUGCCAAAAAUGACCGAAGUGCAAUCCUUCGUGCCAGGUAAGAGUGUCAAGAUAACUACUAUUUGUGCUGCAUUCAUACUUAUUUUGCUUUUUUUUUUUUCAUUGCAGAUGUUGUGAAUAUGCACUCUUAAUUUUAGAGUACUGGGCUGAUGCUCCAGAAAUUCAGCGCUCGGCUGAUCUUUAUGAAGAUCUUAUUAAGUGUUGUGUGGCUGACGCAAUGAGUGAGGUAAAAUUUGUUUUAUGUUGUUUUGUUUCUAGAAUUACCUUAAAUAAAACCUUUACUGUGAUCUGGUCUUGGACACAAAAGAAAUCCCGAAUGUUUGACCAUGUGUGGUCAUAACCGAAUUUUGGGAGCGUUCCUCUUCAGAACGUUCAAGGGUAGGUACUGGGGAGUAAUCAUUGUUAACGCAGGAAAGCAUUCGGAAAGGGUUCCUUUUUUGUUUUUGGUUGGGGUUGAUCACGUGCAUUGCACUUUCUGUCCUCUGCGAUAAUGAUAUUGUGAUAAGACCUACAACGUUUGAAUGCAUAUUGUUUCGCCUAUAUGAGCAUUAGUGAAUGUCAGAGUGUUGGCUCGUCAGCAAUCUGUCUGGUUGACUAUUCUGCAUGGUGUCACGUUGUUGGUUCUGGUUCUAAGAAUGUUGGUAGAGUUUCCCAGAAAGUUACGGAUUGAUACUUAUCUUUACAUCUUUUGUGCAUGCUUAUGAGUUAACUUCAACUCACUUUCUGUGUCAUCUAAUUGCAUAUUGGAUUUGUGUUAGGUACGAUCAACUGCAAGAACAUGCUACAGGAUGUUUGCAAAAACCUGGCCUGAGCGUUCUCGACGCCUAUUCUUAUCUUUUGAUCCUGUUAUCCAAAGGGUAUUUUAUUCACAGUUAUUUGAUAAAUCCCUUCCAACUUCUUCUUUAUUUAUUGUGAAAUUCAUGUUCCGAUAUUGUUUGCUUCUUCACAGUUAAUCAAUGAAGAAGAUGGAGGUAUACAUAAGCGCUAUGCUUCUCCCUCACUCCGUGAGAGAGGAACACAGCUGUCACGUGCUUCAUCUCACAAUCCUUCAUCUGGUGUACCUGGAUAUGGAACAUCUGCUAUUGUUGCUAUGGACAGGAGUGCAAGUAUUAGUUCUGGGGCGUCUCUUUCCUCUGCUAAUCUGCUUCUGUCUCAGACAAAAACUUUUGCAAAAUCAGAAAGAAGCCUUGAGAAUGUGUUGCAUUCCAGUAAGCAGAAGGUUACUGCAAUUGAAAGCUUACUGCGGGGUGUAAGCCUUUCUGACAAGCCCAAUUUAUUGACUCGCUCCAGCAGCUUGGAUCUAGGUAUUGAAUGGAACCAUGAUCUAUUUUUUUUUCCCUGAAUGAUAUCGUCUAUUAAAUCGGUCAAUGUAUCUUUAAGUAGGGCAUGUUCAUUUCAUUCCAUACAGCUCGAUCUAAAACAUCAUACCACACCCUGCUAGUUGAAUUUCUGCUAACUCCAGUAGACAUUUAGUUGAACAUCCCAACAACUGUUAUCGUUGUUCCUAGUGCAGGAGUUGACCCACCAUCGUCUCGUGAUCCGCCAUUUCCACCAGCUGUUCUCUCCUCAACGCACCUCUCAUUGCAGACCUCUGCGUUGGUAGAUUCUAGUGCAACCAACACUGCCCGUGCUAACGUUCGCAAUGGGGGCUCAUUUUUAAGUGAUCUCAUUUCUCAAAAUCAGGCUGCCAGAGAACAGGGUAAGGCGUCGUACCAUGAUAACCUCACGUCUGAUUCUUUGCCAGCCCUAUCAAUGCCAUAUGCAGCAAAAAGGUACUCUGAAAGGCCUCGAGACGAUGGUUUUACUGAAGACCACAGCGACAUGAGGGCUGCUAGGCGACUUCCUUCUUUGCAUAAUGAAAAGCUGUAUCUCGACACUCCUUACAAGGACACAAACUUUAAAGACACUCAUAAUUAUGUUCCAAAUUUCCAAAGGCCUCUUUUAAGAAAACAGAUAACUGGCAGAGCUUCAGCAAGUAGUAGGAACAGCUUUGAUGACACCCAACUCUCUGCUGGUGAAAUGGCUGGCUACAUGGACGGUCCCGCAUCUCUCACCGAUGCUCUUACGGAGGGUUUGAGCCCCAGCUCGGACUGGAUGGCGAGGGUUUCUGCUUUCAAUUAUCUCCAGACAUUAUUGCAGCAAGGUCCCAAGGGCAUUCAGGAAAUAUCUCAACAGUUUGAGAAGGUCAUGAAGCUGUUUUUCCAGCACUUGGAUGAUCCUCACCAUAAAGUUGCCCAGGCGGCCCUGUCGACCCUCGCAGAAAUAAUUCCAGCUUGCAGGAAGCCUUUUGAGAGUUACCUUGAACGGAUGCUGCCUCAUGUAUUUUCCAGGUUGAUUGACCCGAAGGAGUUGGUCAGGCGUCCUUGCUCCACUACCUUGGAAGUCGUCAGCAAGACCUACGGUAUUGAUUCUUUGCUGCCUGCCCUGCUUCGUUCUUUAGAUGAGCAGAGGUCGCCCAAAGCCAAACUGGCUGUCAUUCAGUAUGCAAACAACUCCUUUAACAAACACGCCAUGAACUCCGACGGCUCCAGCAACAGCGGACUUCUUAAACUGUGGCUUGCCAAGUUACUGCCCCUGGUAAGUGAUAAAAACACAAAGCUGAAGGAAGCGGCAGUGACCGGCAUCAUAUCUGUUUACUCCCAUUUUGAUCCGACGGCUGUCCUAAACUUUAUAAUAAGCCUAUCCGUCGAAGACCAAAACUCGCUGAGACGGGCGCUGAAGCAGUAUACUCCCCGUAUUGAGGUUGAUCUUAUGAACUUCUUGCAAAGCAAGAAGGACAGGCAACGCCCAAAAUCCUUUUAUGACCAGCCUGAUACUGUUGGAUCUUCUGAGGAUGGGUAUGCUGGAAUAUCCAAGAAAAGUCAACUUUUUGGAAGAUAUUCUUCAGGUUCCAUUGAUAUGGAGAGUGGCAGGAAGUGGAGUUCCGUACAGGAACCUAGCCAUGUCAGCAGUUCCGCAUUGCUGCCAGCCUCGGAUGAGAGUCAAGACCCUCUGUAUCGAAGCUAUGAUGAGAGCUCUAGCUUCGAGAUUGGCGAUGACGCCCAGGCAAAGGAUACCAAAUUUGGCAGUGAUUCUGUGUCAGGCGGUCCCGGGAACUGGACAAGUCACUCUGGGAAGGUGGAUUCUAGCAUUGAUUUUGCUGGUUCUGCUGUGACUCCACGACUCGAUAUCAGCAGAAUGCUAAGCUCCGAUGUGCAGAGGGCUUCAGGGUUGACCUUGAAUGGUGAAGGCUUAGCUGACGUGGAGUACAGCCAGGAUAAGCUUAUUUUUAGUAAAAGUAGUUCCAAGUCAGCUGCUGGGCCCAGCAUCCCUCAGCUUCUCCACCAGGUCAGUGUGUGAAGAUCCGUAUUAGUGGGGCUUGGAACUUUCCUUCUGUUCUGUGGCAGCCAUUUUAUUUAGUUUCUCUUGAUCUGUAGAUCUGCAAUGGAAAUGAUGAUAAUUCGGGUGCAAGCAAGAGGGACGCUCUACAACAGUUGGCUGAAGCCUCCAAGUCCGACGAUCAAUCUGUGUGGCCUAAGGUUUGCAUUUCUUUUUUAUCAUAUGCACGAAGGUGGUGAAGAUGAUCCGAUAACAUGUAUUCCCCUAGUGGGCAAAGUAAAAGAAUGCAGCUGAAACAUGAUUUUAUUCGAAGACUAUGCAGAUGAAAAAAAUCAUGAUUUUUUUCAUCAUGAUUUGGAAAUUGUUGAUCGUGUUUAUUAAAAUCAAAGUUUUAGAAGGUUGAGAGCAGGGAUGAGAUCAUCGCUAUUCCUCUGAAUAUCCGAUAAAAUGCUAAAAUUUGGAAAAAUAAAAUAAAAAUUUGUCGAUUCUGCUUCACGUCAGGAGCUUCGUUUUAUGUUAAACCAUAACUAUGGGUGCUCCUGCGCUUGCAGUACUUCAAUCAGAUACUGACAGCCGUGCUUGAAGCUCUGGACGAUCCUGAUCCUUCCACCAGGGAGCUCGUUCUAUCACUCAUAGUCGAAAUGCUCGAUCAUCAGGUUCCCGAACUAUCUCGAUGAUUUUUAUUUUUCAAAAUCAUAUUGUGCUCAUCAUUUAAUAAAAAUGCACUAAUUGCUUCAUCCUCACCUUAUUUCCCAACGUCCAGAAAGAUGCCAUGGAGGACUCCGUUGAGAUCGUCAUUGAAAAACUGCUGCAUGCGACCAAAGACAGCGCUGUGAAGGUACUGUGCAUAUUUUUGGGAGCUCCAUCUCCAUGCAAGAAGCUUGCUGCUACGAUCUUCCACCUGACUCCAUAUUUCCCUUUCAGGUAUCCAAUGAAGCCCAGCAGUGUCUGUCGAUUAUACUGUCCAAGUAUGAUCCGUACAGAUGCCUCUCUGUAAGUCGCUUCUCCUUGUAGCUUCUUGGAGGGCACGAUCAAGCCGAAGCCGAAAUCAUUUGUGGCCGAAGCCGAAAUCAUUCUCCCACAAUUUUUACAGGUCGUCGUUCCUCUGCUGGUCAGCGAAGAUGAGAAGAUGCUCGUGACCUGCAUCAACUGUCUGACUAAGGUGAUUUUUAUCUUUUUAGAUUCAAUCUUUUUUUUUUCAAAGGGCGCGUCUAUUUAAGGUGGGUUUUGCUUAAAAUAUUCGAAUUAAAGUGCCGCCAAUCAUUUGAUGAAGAACUUUGCGCAAAGCUGUGUGUCAAUAUGAUUGUGGGGCCUUUCAGCCUCCGCAUUUUUUAUUUUUUUUCCAUCUGGGAAGGACAAGAGCACCCGAAAUAGGGAAGAGCUCCCGUCCCUUUUCUGGUUUCUUCGCUCAAUGCGUUCAUUACGAUCGUUGUUGUCAGAAUAUGUAUGAUUAUAGUAUCUUGAUGAUGCAUCUCCGUGGUGUCAGCUUGUGGGGCGGCUUUCACAGGAGGAGCUGAUGACCCAGCUGCCUUCUUUUCUACCCGCCCUCUUUGAUGCGUUCGGCAACCAGAGUGCAGACGUUCGCAAGGUCUGUUCUCUGUCCUCUCUCUGGAUUAAUCCUCUCUCUGUUUAUUUAUUUAUUUUUAUAUCCGUCGACACUUUCACCCUGCUAGAGAGAGAGGGAGAGAGAGAGAGAGAGAGAGAGUCUUUUUUCCUCUUAUUUUCGGCAUUUUCAAAGUUAAGCGCUGGAUAUGGCUGAUGGCGGGUGGUCUUCUGCAUGGCAGACGGUGGUCUUCUGCCUGGUGGACAUCUACAUCAUGCUGGGGAAAGCCUUCCUGCCGUACCUGGAGGGCCUGAACAGCACGCAGCUGCGGCUGGUGACCAUCUACGCCAACCGGAUCUCGCAGGCGAGGUCGGGCUCUGCCAUCAACGCCACCCACGGCUGACUCCCCCCCGGCGGGCCUCUGCCCCGCUUGGCCGUCGCUGCUGCUGCUGCUGCUGGUGCUGUUUAUUUGGUGAUUUUGUACGCCGAGGGCUCCGCCUCUCUCUGCCGGGCGGUGGGCGUGCCCCCCUCGGCGCCUGCUGGCGGAGUGAGCGCCCUCUCUGGCGCCCCUGGGAAGGGGAGGGAGAGUGCAUGUGUGCGCGUGUGUAGUCUGUGGACAUGGGAUCAGCUCUCGGACUGGUGAUAUCUGGUGGGCCCUUCAUUCUUUCUCUGCCGAAGAAAGCCAUCCGGGCCGUAGACCUAAUCGGUUGCAUCGCACGAGAGGAAGCUUCUCCCGCAGUAUCAUAAUCGACAUAGCGGCGCUGGCCGGAGGCCUAAGAGGAACCUUGCAAAGGAGAGCCUCAGGUCAACCCCUCGGAAGCGCCGCGCUUGCCCGGCCAGAUUGCUCCGAGAGCGUUAUAUCUUUUGAGCCCUCAACGGCCUGGCUGAUCUUUUGACUUGAGCCCCAAGUUGCGACGUAUUUACGUCAGUACCCUUAAUAAUGCACACCGACGAUUGCAAACGGCCUGUGAUGAAAAGGGUUGAAAUGCAACAAAUAUCUUUCGGACGCAUGGGAAUGCAAAAAAGCUCUAGAGAAAGGGGGGAGGAGAACAACUGGGUUAUAAGACUUUCAGGGUAUGAAAGAAAAUGUCGAUGUUUUAUUGUCCACCGUGGAAUUUACCCACUCUUGGACGGUGGGCUAGCGUUAUCCGGGGCAACGGAUAGCGUUGCGUACGUGGCAGCACCCGAAUGGCCGAGGCAACUCGCCUUCGCCUUCGGUGGCUGCGGGUGGCCUCGGACCGCUGUCCGAACCUGCGCGCCCAAUCCCGAUUUUAUUUCCCGAUCAAUUGCGGCGAUCUAGCACAUGCCACGUUGCCUCCCGCGGAUAAAGAGGAAGACAGGAGGGAGGGAGGGAGGAGAGCAGACCGAUAGCCCAAGCGCCGCCGACUUUUCGGCCGAGGACUGAGACUGAUCCCAAUGGCCGCCUCCAGCAUGGCUUCGGCAGCCGCCAGCUUCGCUCUCACCCCCGCCAUCUCCUCCAACGCCGCCGGCAACCCUCGCGCGGUCUCCGUAUUCUUCCCCAGGAGCACCGCCAGGAGGAGCCUCGUCGUCCGCGCCGAGGAGGCCGCCGCGCCGCCGCCCGCCGCCCCACCCGCCGCGGAGGAGGGCAAGCCCGCCGCCGCCGCCGCCCCCAAGCCCCCCCCUCGUGGACCCAAGAAGGGCGCCAAGGUAAACCCCCCCGCUCUCUAUCUAUCUAUCCAUCUAUCUCCAUCUCUCUCUAGGAUCUGAGCCUAUCCCACUCUAUUUCUGUGUCAGGUGAAGAUCCUCAGGAGGGAGUCCUACUGGUUCAACGAUGUUGGCUCUGUGGUCGCCGUUGACCAGGUAGGUCAUCUCUCUCUCUCUCUCUCUCUCUCUGUUCUAUGUGUCUAUUCAUCUAGUCUGUGAACUGAAAGAAGGUUGGACGGUGUGAAUUGUUGCUACUGCAGGACCCGGAGACUCGCUACCCGGUGGUGGUCCGGUUCAGCAGGGUCAACUACGCCAACGUGUCCACCAACAACUACGCCUUGGACGAGGUCAAGGAGGUGAAGUGAGCACGCCGCCGCCUGGCGGAUGAGAGAUUCCGAGUGUCUGGGGAGGUUGACGGGGACUUGAUUUGGGAAUUUGUAUAAACACCCUUCUUCUGUGUAAGCUGUUCUGUUCACCAAACUCUAGUUUAAUUCCGCUUCCUCUACCUUGUGAAAGGCCCAACCCCCCGCAUCAGUCACCGGAAACAGCAUGGGAUGCCCCCCGUGGUUCUGGCCCAAAGAAGAAAAAAAUGGCGGGUUUUUGCCCUAAAUUUUCCUAGUUUCCCCAAGUUUUAUCAGUAACUCCUCCUACCUGGUCUCAUCUCAAGCCAAAAUCGGCCGUGCCAGGGGUUUUCUGUGAUGGGUUCUUCGUAUUUUCUAAGAUUUUUCCUGGAAAUCUCGAUCAUUCUAUCAGCCUUUCCAAAGUUUUUGUGAAUGUUUUUUUUCCUAAGGAAUGCAAUUGCCCAAAGUGAAAGAACUCUCAAAAAUAGAAACCCUGAAUGCGGGAGAGAUGCUUGGAUGAUUACCCGGAAGAAGAAGCCUUUCCUACCAUCUCCGAUCCGCAUGAUCUGCUGCUCUCGAUGCCAACGAUCAGGAGCCUCUCCUACGCACACAUCCAUCCAUCUGAAACCUUACGAUGAGUGUGAGCAGCAAGUUGGCAAAAACAUGGAAGAAGAAAACGAUGAGUCUGUAAAGAAACCUGUGUAGCUUCCAUUCCGCGGCACCUGACUGGAAGGUCGAGGGAAUUGAACUGGUUAGCCAUGAAAAGGGUAGAAAGCCGCCAAAGAGAAGCUAUGUUUCGAAAGCCUUGUUUCAUGGGAGUUGCAGAUGUAGUCUCAGACAGGACGGCCGAACACCAAUCCAAGCCCUGAUCUUUGCAUUAAACUUGAUCAAUGGGUGGUCAAUUGCUCCACCUAGUAGAUUACGGAAAAUGAUUCAAAAUGAGGGAUGCAGUCGACGCUGGUAUCAAACUGGAACAGGCUGCAACACCAGACUCCCUACCAGUGGUUUUGUGCAUUAAUUGUCUAAUAUGCACUUACUAGUUCCUUCCCGAUUUACUGAAUCUGUUGCCAGAGACGAAGUCUAUGCAAAUGAGCAACAGGCCACAAAAGUCUAGCUUCUGGGGGAGGAUCUGAACACGUUUUUUUUCCAAUCUGGAGCCACAGGUUUUGGAAUCAGGUCGAUGGAUGUGGUGUGAAGAUGCUUCUGCAAAGAAAAAUAAGAAGAGACGCUUUCUUCGAAUCCUGAAAUCUGCAAUGAUCCGGAGUCCUCUGUUGUUAAACCAUUUUCCGCGAUCCUUUCAACGCCGUGGUUCUUGGAUCGUUAACUAGCUGUAAACAUUUUAAAAUGACGAUGGUGUGUACCCCACGCUCAUCGAUCUAGACGACCUCGAAGGGGAUUUCUAACGUCAAAAGCACCUUCCGUGCGUCCUUAUCUUAACAGAAGAAGAAUUAAACACUAGAAGUCUCGGGAAAUGGCAGACGGCAUUGAUCUGAACUAGAAGAUCGGCUUGCUCUGUAAUUUUUUCGCAAACGAAAAAAACCUGAACGUAUGACCACACUCUGCAGAGAUGUAGAACCGAGUAAACAGAUCUGUUAGCCAUCAUCACCGAGAAGAAUUCAGCACAUUACUCCCGAAGGAAUCCACCAUCGACAGAGAGAUCCUUCCCCGCCACCGCAGCCAGCACCAAGGUCCUCCCCGGCGAUCGCCUUCUUCGUCGGCUCCCUUCUCCGUCAUCCUCCGCCACCGGAAGGAACUCCAGAAUACGCGCCGGCCAGGACGGGUGAACAGAACGAUCCUUUCCCGCUCAAACCUCCCGAUUAACUUCAUCCCGUUCUUCACAUUUACUUAACGUAACUCGACGAGGAAGGUCGUGGGUGUGCUGAGAUCGGACGGCCGAAGAUCUACGAUCGGGCAGUUGAAUGAGGAGCCACGUAACGAUACUCUGUGCCGUAGACCCCUGGAACGGCCCUUUUGAGUUUUCUGAGGCUAAGAAGGACUCGGGCUCUCUGAUCAAACCAGGGGAGCUUCUGGUGGUCGGGGAAUAUGGCGGAGCGAAUGAAGUGAAGCAGAGGAGGGGAAGGGGGGGUUGGGGGGGAGGAUAUGAUCUCCAUGGCGGCUAAUUCCUUCUUCCUUCCCUGUUCUUCACCAAGAAUCCAGUCCGAGUGUCUAGUUAUCGGCCGCGGGAUUCGAUCUUCUUCGUCUUCUCUGCCCCCUCCCCUGCUCCUGGGGAGCAACGUCCGUUUCGUCCUCUCUACGCUACGCAGAAGGAAAUGGAGAAGGGAUCUCGCCCGCGUAUCCUGCUCGGCUUCGAACGAACCCUCUCCGCCCGAGAUUAGGUAACUUGAAGUGGUUCCAUCUGUUUCCGGCUGCUUUUGGCUUUGAUUUGGUAGGUACACGGAGAAGGUUUUAGAAAAUUGGGGACCAGUGACCUCGAAAGAAAUGAGAAUCUGAACCAACCCUACUCUCUAUGUUUAUAUUUCUCAUUUUCACUGGUGAGGUUGCGCGCCGGGUCUUGAGUGGAAGUGCGAAGCCGUCCAAACAACUGGAAAGCGCGACAUCCAUUCUCAAAGUCUUUAACCCCGCAUGAUCAUCCGUUUCAUGACGAUCACAAAGAGAAUGACUCUAUGGCCACUGCUAGAACGUGUGAAUUACUUUUGGAUCCGCAGGACUGUCUCGGAAUACUUCACCUCCAGCAAGCGCCAAAAAUGGCCCCUAGAUGAUCGUCCAUCUAAAUAUGAUUCACAUUUAGUGAGCCUUCGCGCUGUACUGAUCGUCUCACCUACUUCAUUGUGUAUGGGAAUUCUCGAGUACCCUCGUGCAAUUAUAGUUUGUAGCAUAUUGUAAGGAUGGUCAACCAUCUAAUGGAGAGUAGGUUACUUCCCAGUGUUUUAAAUAAGGGGAGGAGGGUAUCAGAAUAUGAUCCCCACACUGAACAAGAGUUUUUUUUGUUCUUUGAUCUCCAAAUCAAUGAUUUAAGAAUAAAAAUGUUUGAUAAACAGUUAUCCUUGUUUCUGAACUUGUUUUUUUUGAUGUACACAUCUCUUGCCUUUCGCUGAUGUAAUAGUUGCAUCAACAGAAUAACCCUCGGAUAUUACAGGGUCUAAUUUUUCAGGCGGGAUCCCACACUUAGAUGCAGGAAUAAAAUAUGCCUGCACAGAAGGAAUCAGUGAUGGAUUGAUCUUAGAGUUGAUUCCCUGAUUUGAGGUAGAUGGCCGGUUGGCUGAGUAUUCUGAAAAUUGAAUGACUAAAGUUCACUCGCUAUUUGUUAAGGCUUUAUUUUCCGCGGAUGAAAAGAUUUGCAUUCUGAUGAACACUGUAGGAAUGUUUGAAUGAUCUAGUAUAAGUUUUUCUCGCAUGAGAGGUGAUAUCUCUAUGAAGCGGCGAUCUGGUAUGACCUCUUUUUUCAGGGAGGAGCGAGGAUCAUACUGUUGUUUACACCAGCAAAGAGAAGGGAUUCAUGGUGCGUUGCGAGUAUUUCCGAUGUUAUAGAUACAUAAAGAGUAUUCGGGCCUUCUGUCAGUUAAAAAUAGAACCGCUAUUCUCGCUGGUACUAAUCUAUCGGUUCCCUUUCAAGCAGAAACUAGAUCAAGUCUGAGUCGAAAAUCUUGAACCACAUUGGAUAGAAUGAGUCAGACUUUAUUUUCGUCUGUUUGUUAGUAUUGGGUACUGUUUGGUUGUCAUUGUCCCCAGAAAUUUUGUUUAUUUAUUAUUUUUGGUUUUCACUAGAUUACGGAAGGUCUGCUUCGUUCCCCCUCCACCCCCUCUCACGUCAUUCCUGGUCCCAUUUUCUUUAAAAUAAUAUUCUCUUGUUACGUAUUACGUUUAUCCUCGUUACUUCAAAUUAAUGAAUGCGAUACUGUAGGAUGCUUAUUCAUGGCAAGGUCCCUUCCUUGAGGUGCGCAAGAUAAAUAUAGGGCACCCAUCGUCCAUCCUCUCCAUGGUCCUUUGAAAAUUCACCUUCCAUUUUUUGGAGGUGGGACCAUCGCAAUCACAUCACAAAUGUGGCAUUGAUAUUCGCUGUUUAUCUUGAGAAGAUGUUUUUCCAUUUGAGCUGCCAUCCUAUAAUCUUGAUUUCUAGCUGCGAAUAUCUUCAAGUUUAGUAGAUUCCCUAACCCAGGUAGCCUCAUCAUCUCCUAGAAAACCGUGCAUAUCGACACCUAGACUUAUUUGCGGUGAUCUGGAACUUCCAUACCGGUGGGAUAUUGAUGGAAGGUAAUCUGUUUUCCUCUCGUGCCCCACCUUGGUACCACUCUUUCUACUAAGAUCUUUUUUCAUAUAGUCUACGCUGAAAAUAAAUUGUAAAUAAGACCGUCAAUAUUUUUUAAAGCUCAAUUUCUUUGACAAUAAAUCGUUUCAGUUAUAUUUGGCACCAUUUUUUACAUUUUUCCGGUGGGCGAAUUACAUUUCUGAAAACAGAGGUGGGGUAAUGUGCCUCAUUUAUUUUUUCCAGUCACAUGCUAGAUUAAUGCUAGACUAAUGCUAUUUCCCUGUGGUUCUUAGGAACCCAUGAUUAUUUUCUGGUCGAGGCCUCUUGUGAUCCAGAUUUCUUUUCUUCUUCAGCUCCACGGCCAGGAUACGGAGCGAGGUUCUCUCUCCAUUCCGAUCCGUGCGCAUGUUCUUCUACCUCGCCUUCAUAGCGAGUGGCUCACUUGGGGGGCUGAUAGCCCUCACACAGCUGACCGCUGCCCUGGCCAAUUCAUCAAGAGCAGCGCAAGUCCCGGACAUUUUAUAUGGUCUUGGCAUAGAUUUUGGAGCAGUUGCCCUAUUUGCCUUUCUCUAUUCGAGGGAGAGGAACGCUAAGAAUGCCCAGUUGGCCAGGCUAUCUAGAGAAGAGAGCCUCUCCAAUCUUAGGCUGCGAGUUGACGACGAGAGGGUUAUCGCUGUCAGCGCCCUGCGAGGGCUCGCCAGGCUCGUCAUCAUCUCCGGCCCUGCGAGCUUCAUAUCCGAGAGCUUCCAGAGCAGCAUCCCUUUCUCUGAGGCGCUCCUUGACAGAGGGGUCCUGAUCGUCCCUUUUGCCACUGAUGGAAACCCGCCCGCCAUUGAUUUUCCAGAGAGCAGCCAGGAGGAUCCGGCUCUCGUCCAGAGGAGGAGGAGACUCUGGCAGUUGACUCCCGUUUACGCCUCCGAGUGGUCAAAGUAAGAUCAUAUAUCCGCAGGAGCUUUCCUAGAUCGGCGCCCGCUUCUCAUUACCAGUCUGAUCCUGGAAUGGAUGGUUGCAUCGCAGGUGGCUAGACGAACAGAAGAAAAUGGCUAAUGUCGCCGUUGACUCCCCAGUGUAAGUAUUUUUUUCCUGGCCUUCAUUUCCUUUUAUUAAUAUAAUAUAUUUCUGUAUAAUAUUUAUAAAUUUCGAACGAAUUUCGAAUAUUGGGUAAAUAUUAGUUUAAAUACACUUCUUCUAUGCGUUGGGCGAUGACGUGGUCAUUUAUCUGAGAAACAUGUUCUUCGUGUUGAAGGUAUCUCUCUCUGCGGAUGGACGGCCGUGUCCGGGGCAGCGGGGUCGGCAGCCCUCCCUGGAACGCUUUCAUCGCCCAGCUGCCCCCCGUUAAGGGCAUCUGGUCAGGCCUCCUCGAUGGCAUGGACGGCAGAGUCUGACUCCACCCUUGCUGCCUCACAAAGUCAACCCCCCUGUGCGCAUUUAUUUGCCCUUUUUUCCCCCUUUAUAGAAUGGGAUUUUUCUAUUUUUCCUUCGUUAUUGGAUUAAUAUGACACCAAAUAGGUCAAAUAAUAAUCGUAUAAUCACGUGAACAAAUUAAUGGCAUUUAUUUUUCGAUAUUUUCUCUCUUUCGCUCCCCCGCCCCCCCGACAAAGAUAGCCAUAAUGGUGAUUUUCACUAGACGGGCCCGUAUCAUAAGAAGGAACCGAGGAAUUUCCUCUGCAAUCAAUCGUUGACUGAAUCACGUGUGACGGGGUUAUCCGGAAAGUCAAAGCCGAUGUCAGGUUACAAUCAUGGGCCAGGAUCCCUGUUUUCCCUUAUCAGCUUUUCUCGAUCCUUGCAACCGUGUCGGUCCCCCAGUACCCGACGUUGACUACCGACAACCCCACGCGGAGGAUGACGAUCUCCCUCUCGUCGUGACCCCUCGUUGUGCUCGAUUUUGACCGGGUUCCCUUCCACCCCACCCACCGCAUCAUGGAUUCAUCGAUAGAAGAAAGAGGAGCCGGUCCUCCUCCGAGGGUAUUGUUGACAUUUUACGUUGCGUGAUUGUCAACGGGACCUCUGUGGAGCGCCGCAGCCUUUUCCGAAAACUGAGCUGAUUAAAGAAAUAAUGAGCACACAACGCCGGUAGACUAAACGUUCUCUCCUUCGGUCAACGGGGAUUUGACCAUCGUCCCAAAAAUGGGCUAUCCCCGGGCGUACGGCCGGAUGAUUAAGGACCUCUGACCGAGUGUCCCCUCCGAAGGGUAUUACCGUCCUUUACAUAUUGGUCCAAGUCAUCACGAAGAAGACAAGCUGCACCCGGAAGGAUAUAUAUAUAUACAUAUGUAUCUCCACAAGUAACCGAUACCGGUGGGUACACAUCUGCGGGAGCGGGUGACGUGGACGGCUGCUGAUGAGGAGGACCAAUCGUGUCGCGGAGCCGGGUUGACUAAUGUCCAUCCCGACGUUUACGUGCAAGAUUUUUUUAAGAAUAAUAUUUUUAGAGUAAUAACGACGACAUGGGGAGAGAUUUGGAGGGUCAAGAUUCGCUGAUGGCGUCUGCAACGGGCCCCACCUAUUACGUCCAGCGCCGUCCAUCUCUACAUUGCCGCGAACCCUCCUGUCGUUCAGCUACGGAAAACUCUCUCUCUGGUCUCUCUGGUCUCUGUGUUCGUCUCUGUUCUCCCUCUGGAGGUCCCGGCUCGUUCCUCCGAUCGGGAGUCAAGGGAGUCGUCACGGUCGCAUCACUGCCUCUGGGGGCUCGACUCGCAGCAGAAAGGAGCGGGGGAUAUCGAGGAGAGCUGUCUGGCCAGGGACAAGGUGAGGCGAUGGCUUGUUCUGUUUCGAUCCCCUUUCCCGCUCUUCCGGGCCGUGCAGGAUGCAGGUCCAGGCGGGGGACGAUCCAGAGAGCACCACCGCUCCAUCGUCUUCGUUUCUGCGACCGGCUGGAGAAUAUUCGGAGGCGUACCUUCCCCGGUCCCUUCUCAGCCCCCUCACCAAGUCGGCCUUCAGGCUUCCCCUCGUCUAGAACUCACGAACGGCCUGCGUUGUCCUCUGUGGGGAUUAUUUCUUCCCCUGGUGUCGUCGGGGGCCGAUUAAGCCUCUGUCGUGUCCUCCUCUCUAUUUGAAUGUUCCUUGCCCUGCUUGGGCCGCGGUUUCUUUCUUCCUUUCUUUAUUUCUUUAUUUAUAUAAGUGGAAACGCAGCCGAUUUUCAGCGAUUCUCGUUUUCCAGCGCGUGAUUCCCUCUCAACUUGUUCUUCAGAGGUAGAAUCAUUCUCUGCGAUGCGUAUAAUCGCCGACUCCUAGGCCCAGACUGCGGGAGUUGAGUUAAAUUCCUGAAUUAUUGAAGCUCAGCAAUACGGUGUAGCUUUCUGAGCUCCUGUGAUGAUCGCGGACGAAAAUGGAGAUAGAUCUGUGGGGUUUCUUCUUGGCUGUUUCAUCCAUUGAUUUGAUUGUCCCACCCUGUUCUCGUCUGCAGGAGGAGGAGAAACGAGCUAUAAGGAGAUCGAGGAGGAGGAGGAAGAAGAAGAAGAAGAAGAAGAAGAGAUGAGCACCCUCAAGGUGGGGGUGGAGGUUGCGGGGGCUCAGAACCUCAUAGCGAAGGACGGGCAGGGCUCCUCGAGCUCCUUCGUGGAGCUCCACUUCGCCGACCAAAAGUUCCGCACCUCGACGAAGACGGACCUCAACCCCGUGUGGAACGAACGCUUCUACUUCGACGUGCCGGACCCCGACCUGCUCCCUCAUUAUGCGCUAGAAGCGUUCGUCUACAGCGCCUCCGGCGGCAGCCUUUCCGCCAAGUCCUUCCUCGGAAAGGUGCGCCUCGUCGGAACCUCCUUCGUCCCCUACUCUGACGCGGUGGUCUUGCAGUGCCCUCUCGAGAAGCGCGGCAUCUUCUCCCGCGUCAGAGGGGAGCUUGGCCUCAAGGUCUACGUCACCGACGACCCCUCGGUCCGGCCGUCCAACCCUCUGCCGGCGAUCGACCCCUCCCUCAACAACCCUCCGCCGUCUCCGAUCUUCCGAGCUCAGGCGCCGCCUGCAAGCCCGCGCGCGGGCAUGUCCCCGGAGAAGAAGGCGUCCAGGUCGAGGCAGUCGUUCCAUCACCUCCCCAAGGGGAAGCGCUCGCCGGCGACGGCGAAGUCGACGGCGUAUGAGAUGAGGGCGGACUCAUCCGCGGCGGCGAGGGUCUUUGCCGCGGUACCUUCGUCGUCGUCGGCGGCGGCGGAGGCGAGGGUCUUUGCCGCGGUACCUUCGUCGUCGUCGGCGGCGAAGCAGGGUUUCAAAGCGGCGCCGAAGUUUCAAAGCGGCCAUGGCGGGCAGCCCUUUAAACCGCGCAUGGGGUCCCCCGAUAGGAGGGUGGGUAGUGGCUACGACCUCGUGGACCAAAUGGAGUACCUCUUCGUGCGGGUGGUGAGGGGCCGGAACCUGGCGGCCAUGGAGCUCGCCGGCAACGUCGACCCUUACGUGGAGGUGAGGCUGGGGAACUACAAGGGGCGGACGAGGAGCUUCGAGAAGAACCAGAACCCAGAGUGGAACCAGGUCUUCGCCUUCGCCAGAGACCAGCUGCAAGCCUCCGAGCUGGAGGUGGUCGUCAAGGAAAAAUCCCUGCUCAGGGACGACCAUCUGGGGCUGGUCCGCCUCGACGUCUACGAGGUGCCGAGGCGCGUGCCCCCGGACAGCCCCCUCGCCCCGGAGUGGUACCGGCUUGAGAACAAGAAGGGGGAGAAGCUCAUGUGCGAGCUCAUGCUGGCCGUCUGGUUCGGCUCGCAGGCGGACGAGACCUUCCCCGACGCCGUGAUCUCAGAUGCGAUGGUGACCUCGGAGGAGAGCCCCGCCAGCGCUCACCUGCGGGGCAAGGUCUACCACGCGCCUCGGCUCUGGUACAUCCGGGUCAGGAUCAUCAAAGCCCAGGACAUCGUGCCGGCGGGGGACGAGGGCAAGCCGGCGGAGGUGAGAGUCAGUGCCCAGGUGGGGAACCAGAUCCUGACAACCAGCUACGUCUGGACCGUAAACAUGGCGGCCACCUGGAACAAGGAGUUCAUGUUCGUCGCCGCCGAGCCCUUCGAGGAGCACCUGGUGCUCAAGUUGGAGGAGAAGGUCGGGGGUUCCAACAAGAGCGAGGAGACGGGGACCUACGCCAUCCAUCUGGCCAUCCUGGACAAGCGCCACGACGACCGCUCCCCGCCGGAGAUCUGGUGCCGCCUCGAGAAGCCCGGGCUCCUCGACGUCGACCAGCUGAAGAAGAACAAGUUCGCCACCCAUCUCAACUUCGUCGCCUACCUCGACGGGGGCUACCACGUCUUCGACGAGCCAACCCAUUUUAGCAGCGACCUCCGGCCCACGGCGAGGGAGCUGAAGAAGUCGCCGAUCGGGCUGCUGGAGCUUGGCAUACGCCAGGCCGUGGGGCUCUCCCCGAUCAAGACCUACGAGGGGAAGGGCUCCUGCAACGCCUACUGCGUGGCCAAGUACGGCAACAAGUGGGUGCGCACCAGGACGGUGCUGAACAGCCUGCGACCGAGGUUCAACGAGCAGUACACCUGGGAUGUGUACGAUCUGGCCACGGUCCUCACGGUGGCGGUCUUCGACAACGGCCAGAUCCAGCUCGAUGAGAAGGGCUCCGCCGCCGCCGUCGCCACCGCCGCGAAGGACACGAUCAUCGGCAAGGUGCGGAUCCGGCUGUCCACUCUGGAUGGCGAGCGCGUGUACAGUGACUCGUAUCCCCUCCUGGCGCUGCGCAACACCGGCGUCAAGAGGAUGGGCGAGCUCCAACUGGCCGUGCGGUUCUCCUCCGUGUCGACAGUAAGCACACUGUUUACGUACAUCCGGCCGCCUUUUCCGAAGAUCCACUACACGCGCCCGCUGGCGAAUCUGGACCAGUCGCGACUCCAGAACAAGGCGGCGGAUGUAGUGGUAGAGCGUCUGGGCCGGAUGGAGCCGCCGCUGAGGAGGGAGGUGAUCCUUUACGUCUCCGAGAUGAGUUCCAACACGUGGGGCAUGCGGAAGGGAAGGGCGAACUUCUUCAGGCUCGUGGCCCUCUUCUCCGGCGCGUCGGCGAUGUGGAAGUGGUUCGACGACGUGUGCUGGUGGAAGAACACCAUGACGACUAUCCUCGUCCACCUCCUGUUUGUCAUUUUGGUGGGCUUCCCGGAGCUCAUCCUCCCCACCGCCUUCCUGUACAUGUUCGUCACGGGCCUGUGGAACUACCUCCACCGGCCCCAACAGCCGGCCCAGAUAGAUACGGCGCUCUCCAGGGUCGACGACGCCAGCCGCGACGAUCUGGACGAGGAGCUCGACGACUUCCCCAGCAAACGCGACCCCACCACCGUCCGCGACCGGUACGAUCGCCUGAGAAGCAUUGCUGGCCAGGCAGUGACGACGGCCGGCUAUAUCGCCACCCAGGGAGAACGGAUCCAGGCGCUGCUCACCUGGAGGGACCGCCGCGCCACCGGCAUCUUCUUGGUCUUCUGCCUCCUCGCCGCCCUUUUUCUCUAUGUGAUCCCCUUCAGGAUCGUCUGCAUCCUCUCCGGCUUCUACGUGAUGAGGUACCCCAAGUUUAGGUCGAAGGUCCCGUUGUGGCCGACCCACUUCUUCCGGCGACUCCCCGCCAGAGUAGACAGCUUGCUGUAGGGUGAGUGGGACCUCUCUGCCUCCCUCCACCUCGGUCAUCUCCAGUGGUAUGUGACUCGAGAAGAAGAAGAAGAAGAAGAAGCAGCGGCCAGAGCUCCGUGGAGGACGACGACCUGGGGGCUGCCGGAUGGGCCCAUCCGGUGCGGCUUGUUCGCUUUGGGCCUUGUGAGCUAAUUAUGGAGACCAAGAUGGAAAAAAAAAAUGUAAAGUGGACUUGGGUCCGUCUGUAAAUGGGCUUUUGUUCGGAGACGGCCCCGUUGACCUCGCACACUGUUAUUUGCGGACACGGGCAUCGUCGCAUUUGUCGAGUUCACCACUGGCUGUCUGGCUAUAUACAUUAGUAUGUCAAUAUGCAUGUUUAUUUUCAUAUUUAUAUAUUCUUAAAACAGAUAAUCUGUUUAUAGUACGAUAUGCCAUUUCUUCGUAUUUGCGAUCAAUUAAAAUAUUUUAAAACCGUAUGUAUGUAAUAAAUUGAUGCCCAUGUCAAACAGUCAAUCUAAUGGAGUACAUAUCCGGCGCCUAGAUUGAGCCCCCAUUUAAUUUUUUUUUAUUUCCGCCACUUUAUUUUUUUAGCGGCUCGUAAAGAUAAAUAAAUAUUAUGACGUCAUAUGUAUUUUUGUCAACCCUCUCGCCUCCAUUUAGCGGGACGUGAUCCCAAAAAUUGGUAAUAAAAAAGUCAAACAAAUCUACAACCUCUAUAUUAGCUCAUUAAUAAACAAAUACUUGGUUCCAUAUCUUGUAUUUUUAUUUAAUUCACAACGGCUUUUGAUUUCUAUCUGUUCAUGACCGAUGUCGAUCAAUGCGGGUGGAAAUUGACUACACAUUAGAAUAGAGUCCAUCCAUCAGCUAGAGGCCAAAAAAGUCAACGCUUCGCAUAUCACUCCCUUCUUUUAUCAUCACGUGCAUUAUGAAAUGUAAAGAGGGAUUAGCCGGUGGGGAGGAUAAUUAGGCUACAUUACGCAUCUAUAGGGUCCAAAUGUUCUUAUAAAAUGAAAGUGAGGGGGGAAAGGGAAAAUACGUGGUCAAUUAUUAGCGACGUCCCAAGCAAACUUAGCGUACACCGCCCGUGAGUCCCCUCUUAAAUGGUCGGUGCCACGUGUACAUACAUGACGUCAUCUCCAGUGCGGACCCGUGUCUCGCUUCUCUCGCCGACUAGCUGGCGACCCGGGCGGCAUCCGCUCACCGGAGGUAUCUCAACAGAAACGAUCACCGCCUUUCUUACUCGAUAUCGGAGGCAACGGUCGGCGUAGCUGGCGCAGGGCAGUUAACAGUAUCACUCUGGCCCCCCGGGUCAGCCCUCUGGACCGUUGCCCGGGAAUCGGACGGCUAAGGAGCAGGCAUCGGGGUCGGAGAAUCUCCGUGAUGGGGUUCUGUGGUUGCACAGGGUCUCCGUGUUUGUCGGUUUGUACUGUCCAGCGCGGCCAACACCUCAGCAGACGGCCGUAGCGGAAACCGUCCCCUCUACUUCUCUCCGUCACCGUUAAAAUAUAACAAUCAAUUAACCGUUCGCUGAAAAAUGUAUAAAUAAUUUCGUCGAGGGAUGUAAAAGAAAUUUAAAUAAAUAAAAUAUUAAAAACGUUGGAAACAUUGGUUGGUAAUUAGUUAUUUAUGGGCACUCAUAAUUGUCCUAUCAUCUCAUGGUUAUUUUCCCGAAUAUUAGAUGCCAUUGACCUUUUUAAUUAACCAUUUAUAUGCAUAAAUGAGCAGAUAUUUUUCAUAAUAGCUUGUCACGUAUGAGGGUAACUUAUUUAAAAACCCUUCAAUGUUAAGUACCUUAUAUUUUCGCCCUAUUUUUCGAUUACCGAGUUACCGGGAGCAGGGAGCAACCCUUUACCCGUGUGACGGCCCUCUUGACGCCGUUCAUAUUGCCGUUACGGCCGCGCCUUCGCGCCUAUCAGUUAGACGGUGCAGACGGUAAGCUCACGGGACACUCAUUCUAUCCUCACUCGCGGGUGACCUCUGAAGUGCUCUACGGGGCAUCAUCGUCUACGAACUCGAGCAAGCGAGGCAGAGGAGAGAGGAGAGAGGAGAGAGGAGAGAGAGCGAGAGAGAGAGAGAGGGAGGAAGGGAGGGAGAGAUUUUGCCGUCGGAGUACACCACCGCCAUUACCAGCUGCAGCAAUGUGCCGAAGGAACCGCCGGCCUUCGCCGGCUCUCCAGGGUAGGUGUUAGCAGGUCGGUUCAUGGUCUCCUCGGUGGAGGCGGGAGAUCUGUGGGGAUGGAAUCAGGGAGGGGGAAGGAGGAGGAGGGGGAGGGCUCCGGCGUCCCACCGUGGGUCGUGAGACGGGUCUCCGAGAUUAAGAUCUCGGGCGAGUUCACAACGUUAGUUCCUUCUGGUGCCGCGGUUUUCCUGAGUUUGCUCCGUCGGCGGUUUCUAUGGCGUGGGAUCGCUUCUUGGUCGAUUUGUGUAGGGUGGAGUAUACUCUGUGGUUAUUUCUCUCUAGCUCUCAGAUCACUUCAUCCGGAGCAGCGCGUAGUGGAUUUCCCGAUCAGAUGCGGCUUCAUUUACUUCUUUCCCCAUUAUUUUUAGAGAUGCGUUAUGCAUCUCUCUCGGUCUCUCUAUCUACUCUCCGGGUCGAUUUCAUCCUCUGAAGGCAGCCGUUCGCCUGAUUAUUUUGGGGAAAUACGAGAGAGGUACCGAUUUCUCGGCUUCGGAUUAUUUUUUCCUGGGCGUGCAAAUAAUGCAGACCGUCCAAUUGCUUUCCAGGUGCUCCUCAAGCCUGUUCAGAUCAUCUUCAAGGUGUUCCUUGAACAUUCAUUUUUAGUUUUUUUGCUGAGAUUUUCGGACGUCGUUUCUCUCCAGGAAUAAAAUUCGUCUUUCACUGUUUAGAUAAUUUUAAUUUUUUUCUGCUAUUUCCGAUUUUCUUUUUCUGCCGAUGCAGGCUUUUUGCCCGCCCGUUGUUCCCUCGGAUCUUCCUCUACCUUGAUUUUAGUUUAUUUUUUCAGAAAUUCUUCCCCAAUCUGCACUGUUCGUCCCCUUUCGUAUCUCCCAUUCCCCUGUCUCCUCGCCGCAGCCUUUCUCCCUCAUGAUUCCCUUUUUCCCUUUCUUUCCUUGGCUGGCCUCUGCGGAAGCUCCUCGACCCGCUGAGGCCGGUUGCUUCAUCCGUCCGCUUUUCCACUGUUCUUGUACCCAGAUGCCGAUUCUGAUCAGGAAGGGGAGUCUUGUUCAUGCCGUCAUUCUCCGGGGGGAGGGAGGGUGGGGGGUGAGGGAAGAGGCUCGAACUAGGGCUUAGGUUAUUUCUUCUGCAUCUGCAUUCCGAGGGCUUUCGUGCCCAGAAACCUUCAGCAUUGCCCUGAGCGAAGCUUCUAAUCCGUCCUUCAUGGGGGUUUUUGCAGGCUGAUCCGAGAGGGCUGGCGUCAGAUCUCCAGUGUUCCGGCUCGAGGAUGGUCUGCUCAGUGACGCCGGUGAGGGAUCUCUGUCGACUCGUCGUGGCCCGGGAGGAAUGGGAGAGGUGGGGGGGGAUGGAGUCUGAGGAUCGUCUCUUCGCUGUUCUCUGAGACUUGCAGGCGCCGAGAUGAACGAGACGCAGAGUUGGAAGGCGGAGAGGCCGAUCCCGGGAUGCAUGGGGAGGAUGAUUAACAUCUUCGGCUCGAGUGUGGGAAUGGCCGGGACGAAGAUGCUCACAGACAGACCUCACCGAGACGGUGAGCUCUCGAGCUAUAGAUUCGUCUCCUCCGUGCUUUCCUCUGAUAAUCUGCUAUGAACUCUCAUCGAUCUUCAAACGCCAUCGGAUUCUAUUUCUCAUCAGGUUUUGUCUCCGGCAAUCGACCUUACACGCCGAGGAACGCGGCAGAUCCUGUUUCUGCUCCGACGGAUGACAGACAACCAGUAAGCAGCGCUUCGUCACGCGGCUUCUGAUCAUCCGAGAGCAAGAUCUGUUCUUGUCCUCUGAUUUUGAUUCGCCCUCAGGUGGCUUGCGACCCCAGAAGGAGUUCACCAGGCAGGAGACCCGGAGGAACGCCGAUGAAGAUGCUCAUUGCCCACGAGAUGUCCAAGGAGACGGAGAAUAAGCAAAAGCCGCCCGGUGUUGUCGCCAGGUUGAUGGGGCUCGAUGCCCUUCCAGUGCAGCGGCCAGCUGCGAGCCCGCAAGGCGCUUACCAGCAUAAUGUCCACCUUCCUCAGCUCAGAGGAGAAGCCCCGGUCCGCGGGCAGCAGGAGAAGUCUGCCCAGCAGGAUGUGUGCAAGGAUGUCUACGAGGUGUGGCCGCAGCAGCCCCAGCCGAGCCAUUGCAGAGACCAGCAGCAGCCGUUGCCGAGCGAGAAGAGGAUGGACCUCGUCCGGCAGAAGUUCAUGGAGGCGAAGCGGCUGGCUACAGACCAGAGACUCCUCCAGUCGAAGGAGUUCCAGGACGCCCUCGAGGUCCUGAGCUCCAACAGAGACCUGUUCCUCAAGUUCCUGGAAGAGCCCAAUUCCCUGUUCUCGCAUCAUCUCCAGGAGCUCCAGGGCCCCCCUGCGGCAAUGGCGGUGCCCCAGACGAAGCAGAUCACGGUGUUGAAGCCGUCGAAAUCUGUGGAGGCCGAGAGCGGCAAGGACAACCCGCGGAGGCACCGUCACCAGGCUGCAGAAGAUGAUCCAUCCGAGAAGAAAAGGGCCGGCAGGGCGGGCUCCGGCUUCGUUCAGCCCAAGGUGGAGAGCUUGCCCCAGCCGACGCGGAUUGUGGUCUUGAAGCCCAGUCCCAGGAAGCCUCAAGAUCCGAACCCUGCAACGGGGUUCGGCGAUGGCGGGGGAGCUCCUCCUGAAGGGGUGGUCGCCGAUGAGGCCAGAGGAUCGAGAGAUGUGGCGAAGGAGAUCACUCGGCAGAUGCGGGAGAGCCUGAGCGGCAACAGGAGGGACGACACGUUGCUGUCCUCGGUCCUGUCCAAUGGGUACAUUGGGGACGAGAGCUCCUUCAACAGGUCGGAGAACGAGUUCAUCGAGGAUGACCCUGGUAACUUCAGUGAUUCCGAGAUCGUGUCGCCCACCUCGCGGUACUCUUGGGAUCAUGUCAACAGGUUCGGCAGCCCCUUCUCCCUCUCUUCUGUGAGCAGAGCGUCCUACUCUCCAGAGUCCUCGGUGAUCAGAGAGGCCAAGAAGCGGCUCUCGGAGAGGUGGGCGAUGGUGGCGUCGGGCGGGGGCAGCAGCAGAGAUCAGCAGAGGCAAGUCCGCCGGAGCUCGAGCACCUUGGGGGAGAUGCUCGCCAUCCCCGAGAAGAAGGAAGAGUGCGAUGGAGGGCUUGGUGUGUCGAGCAGCCGGUCGUGCGGCGGAGACCAAGAUGCGAGGCUGCUGGUGCCCAGUCCGCCCAUUGCUGAGAAUCUGAUCGAGAGCGGCGGUGCGGAGUCCCCAAGGAAGCUUCUUCGGUCGAAAUCUGUUCCUGCAUCUUCUUCGACGUUCGAUAAUGGCGGGCCGACUGCGGAAGGGUCCACCUCCCAGGUCGAGAACCCCAUUGCUCCAAAAGAUCCCAACAGGCCCAGGAGCGGGAAGACCUUCCUCAAGGGCAAAGUCUCGAGCUUGUUCUUCUCCAAGAGCAAGAAGUCGAACAGAGAGAAAGCCGAUCCGUUUCCCGUCGCCGCCGCCGCCGCCGGCGGUGGGGUUCCGUCGGUGAAUCCUAAAUGCAAUGCCGAGGGCCUUCCUGAUGCUAUGCGAGGAGAAGCCCCGAUUCCCAAGGAGUUGACUUGCAGAGGUUCUUCUCCUGCUUCGUCAGGAAAUGGAGCAAAACGAGCCGCUUCGAAUCCAAAGGUUCAGUCGCACGGACUUUUAUCUUUGUUAACAAUUUAGAGUUUCUUGGUCUAGUUUGAGGGAUACGAUCGGAUGAAAUCACGAAGAACAGUAGAACUUGUUUCGUUCUUUCGUGAUGAAAAUUUUGAUUUGUGUGUAGGCUGCUUCGUCUCAGACGAAGGUUGCAAGAACAGCCGAGAUCACCGGCGAGCAGCCCAGCCCGGUCUCAGUUUUGGAUGUGUCGUUCGAGGAUGAGGCGAACAGUAGCUCUUCUCAGUCCUCCGAGGGCGGCGGCGCCUCCAAUCUGGACUGCCGGCGUGAGUCCCAGGAAACCCAUCUCCGUCCUCCUUCCUCCUCCUAUGGGAAUUCAAUUCCUGGGCCGAGAUUUCUUUAUGCUGAUUCAGUCCUUCGCCUGCGCAGAGCUGAUCUCUAGAUCGCCGCCGAUUGAGUCGGUCGCCCGUUCGCUGUCUCGCUCGCAGCCGAAGCUCGCGAGGAGCUCGUCCUUGGCGGAAGAGUGUCAGGAGCAUUACUCAUUCGUGAAGUCCCUGCUCUCCUCCGCCGGCCUCGGCGGCGAGGCGCCCCCCACGGCGGCAGCGCUGGCGAGGUGGCAUUCGCUGGAGAGCCCCCUGGACCCUUCCCUCCUGGACAAGUUCUUGGAGAGGAAGGACGAGGACGCCAAGUGCAGGGAGAGGAGGUCUAGCCAGCGGCUGCUCUUCGACGCUGCCAAUGUCGCCCUCUUGGACAUCAGCAGGGCCGCCGCCGCCGCCGCCAAGAGCGGCGGAGCCCGGUACGCGGGCGGGUCAGUGACGGAGGAGGUGUGGCGGCGGGUGAAGGGGUGGUGGAGCGUGGGCGGCGAGCAGCCGGCGGGGGGGGCACAGCGGCCUGGUGGUGGACAGGGUGUUGAGGAUGGAGGUGCCCAGCUGCGUGUGGGGGGAGAUGAUGUCCUCGGAAGUGGAAGAGGUUGGGAGGGAGAUAGGCGGUGAGUUGCUGGAGGACCUGAUCGGGGAAGCUCUCGCCGACCUCCUGAUUCAUCGGAGGCCAUGACCCUCCCCCCCAUCUCUCUCUCUCUCUCUCUCUCUCUGUAAGUUCUUCCGAAGAACGCAGUGAUUGUGGUCAUUUCUCGCCGCUAGAUAUAAAUUUGUGAUGAUAUUUUGCUUACUCUCUCUCUCUUCCCCCAUCAGAUUGUUAUGGAUCCUCCUCUUUGACCAUCCUACGAACAACGAAAACAAGAACCUCACUCGCCCUUCCGCUUCAGAACCCGCAUCGAGAGAGAGAGAGAGAGAGAGAGAGAGAGAGANNNNNNNNNNNNNNNNNNNNNNNNNNNNNNNNNNNNNNNNNNNNNNNNNNNNNNNNNNNNNNNNNNNNNNNNNNNNNNNNNNNNNNNNNNNNNNNNNNNNNNNNNNNNNNNNNNNNNNNNNNNNNNNNNNNNNNNNNNNNNNNNNNNNNNNNNNNNNNNNNNNNNNNNNNNNNNNNNNNNNNNNNNNNNNNNNNNNNNNNNNNNNNNNNNNNNNNNNNNNNNNNNNNNNNNNNNNNNNNNNNNNNNNNNNNNNNNNNNNNNNNNNNNNNNNNNNNNNNNNNNNNNNNNNNNNNNNNNNNNNNNNNNNNNNNNNNNNNNNNNNNNNNNNNNNNNNNNNNNNNNNNNNNNNNNNNNNNNNNNNNNNNNNNNNNNNNNNNNNNNNNNNNNNNNNNNNNNNNNNNNNNNNNNNNNNNNNNNNNNNNNNNNNNNNNNNNNNNNNNNNNNNNNNNNNNNNNNNNNNNNNNNNNNNNNNNNNNNNNNNNNNNNNNNNNNNNNNNNNNNNNNNNNNNNNNNNNNNNNNNNNNNNNNNNNNNNNNNNNNNNNNNNNNNNNNNNNNNNNNNNNNNNGGAGAGAGAGAGAGAGAGAGAGAGAGAGAGAGGACGGAGGGGCUGAGGGGCGAGCAUGGUUGGCGGGCAUUAAUGGCGCGUCCUUGGCGUUGGAAGCAAGCAAGAAAGUAUCGAUUAUAGAAAAUGGUGACCCGACAGCGGCGUGUAUGUCUGCCGGCGGAAAGGGAAAGGAGGGAGGAGCUCCACCCCCCCCUCCCCUUCCCCUACGUCUUAGAAGUCAACUAGCGGCGGCGGCAACAGCUCCCAAACGCUGCCGCCCACUGAACCCGUCCGUGGGGUCCCGCAUUCCCGCGUUGUUCCCGAGGGGGUCAGCGUAACGCCGCCCUUCCGAGGUGGUCCACCCCACGGAGGGGGAGGAGGAGGGGGAGAAGCUGAUCAGAGCGUGGUCCUCUCUCCGUGGUUAAAGGACAAAUUGUGUCAUAAAUCGGCUUUGGCCGGUUGCUCAACGGCCCACGGCCCACCGCUGUGGAUGCCCCUACCCGUCAAAAUCCCAUGUAUGGUCCGCGGACCACAACCGAUCUCGGGAUAAUCUUCGAGGGAUUGAGGCGAUCGCAUUCAAGAGAAAUUUCUCGAAAUAGAAAGAAUUGUGUAAAUGGGGCCUGAAUCUUCUCGUCAAUAAUUGAGUGCUCCAUGGGAAUGGCUCACUCGGAUAGACUCGACCAAGGAAAAGCCUACUCUCACUCUCUCGUCAAUAUUUAUAUAUAUAUUGAGGGCAAUAAUGAAGCAUUUAAUAAAAUAAAUACUUGACAUUUACUUUAAUAAUGAGUGGAAAAUCAGAGAUAAUUUAACUCAAAUACCAGGAAUAAGAAUAUACAUUUUAGCCGGAGUAGUUUUUUUUUUUAAUUUGACCACCGGUGGGUUGGGGGGGGGGGGGUAGUUGAGAUCUGAAUCUGUUAAAGUUGAGAUCUGGAUUUGCAUAUAUUUCUGGGCAGGCCCACCUGCUUCGCAGCCCGGCCCGGUACUGGGUGGGAAAUAAUUAGAUAAGAGCCCAAACAACCAGAUAUCCCCGGCCCAGAAAAUGAGAACGGGCCCUGGAAACAAUCACCCGCGGUCGAGUCCAAUCACCCGUUUUUAAGACAUAAAAACUGGACCAGAUGGGCCGACGUGUAGCGAGCGUCGGGGCAUUGGGUACCGGAGGGGAGCGGAGGAACAGAAGCAAUCGAGUUGACGAGGGGAACGGUACACAGAGACAAUAGACGACGUCCCACAGGGUGCCGGAGACGGAGCCGCAGCUACCCUGUGGGACGGACGCACAAGCUAGCGCCGACAGCGCCUUAUUAGCUUAGCAGAGAAGUACCGGGGAUGUUCUGACUGAAGGUAAGGAGGAAGUAACCUGGCUAACUGCUUCACGAAAGGGGAACUCACUCACAGGAGGGGGAACAUCAUGCCGAGGUCUUCAGCACCCACCACAAGGCCCAUCUUCUCCUUUCCAUGCUUCCCACCUGCCUCCGCCUCCCAGCAAUGGAGAACGGACUUCGGGGACUCGGCGCGUUGGGUGAAAGAUUGAUAGAGCACCAAACCACCGCCGGGAAGCUCCUGCUCGACCACGUCUUCGCGGGCGUAUCCUCUUGCUGCGAUCGGCUUGUCCCACGACGCCGCAGCCGCACGGGGCCCGAAGACGGUGACUGCGAGGGAGAAGUUAGCGGGGGCAAAGCAUCUCAGGACCCUCUCGACAAGAGCCUGGUAGUCCAACGUGGAGGGGUCGAAUCCCAUGGUCUCGUAGCUCGCGUAGCUGAAGCCGUCCUCCGGGGUGACGUGGAUGGUUGAGAGAGCGCGGCCGGUGAUCCCAUUCAUUGAGUAGCCGCAGGGGUCGAACUCGAAGUCGCAAAUGUCCAUCUCUGGGAUGAUGUCGUAAAUCCCGGCUAGCUUCGUCAUUUCCUUAGCUGAAGAAACCUUGCCCUCGGAGGACUUUUUGAAGAAAACUGAUGCGCGAUCCUUGUUUAAACCAGUCAUGCACAUCUCGAGGGUUACCAUGGGUUGCUCUGGUUUGUCGCAGGCGUAAUAGACAUGCCAAUUGCGGUUGGGAAUGGCCUGGUCGCCGAUCACGUAGGCACCAGAGGAGAGACCUCCAAAGUGACGGUUGAGAUCUGAAACCUCCUCGGAGAAGCUACGGUGGGGAGCAGGUUGAGCCUCUGGAAAUAUAAAGCUGCCACGAGAGUACUUGACAGACGUAACAUGGAGUGAGAGACCGGCAGCGAGUUCUAGGAUCCUAGGGAUGGAUAAGAGGAGCUUCGUGGUCCCGCAAGUCUUCAGGAUUAUCUUAUGAGGGAACACAAACAGACUUGAUUCGGAAAGGACAUAGGAGUCGAAGUCCUUGUUGGAAAGCUGGUUCACGAUGGUGCAAAAGGCAGUGUCCAGAAUGGAAUCAAUUUCGGAUCGGGAAAGAGCACGGAGACCGAGACCCUGGGGGUCCUUAAACAGAGGUGCAUCGGAAAAAGUUAUCUCCAGGCGCUUCUCGUAACCUUCAAACCCGAUGGGACUUUGAGGGGGAGGGUUUUGGGCCUCGCCCUCUAAAGUUGCCAUGUGAACAGACCUUUGAGCGGUAAACAGAUGGAGUGGGAGACGGAGAAGAUUGGGAAGUGUCGGAUGCUGAUUAUUGCCGAAAGCAGCUAGCCAGAGUGCGGUUUAAAUCGGAAACAAAACGAAAGUAGCUAAACAGAUGGUCCUACAGGACCGGAGAGGGCAUCCCGGGGGGGAGUCAGGAUGGUUUCCUCACGCACUGCCAACAACAAAGAAACGAUAACUGAUAAGAAAUGGUAAAAAGAAGAGAGUGACCUUAAGCGUGACAACUUUGAUCCUUCCUCUACUUACGU